UUCUAUUUUUAGAAAAAGUGAAAAGAAAGUCUGGAGCUAUAGCUCACUCCAUGGUAGAUCAAUGGCAUAACAUAAGGUCUUAGCUUCAGCCUUUAGUACCAUAUAUUUCCUUAUACAUUGUGUGUGUGUAGUUCAGAGGACAACUUUUGGGAGUCAACUCUCCUUCCACAAUGUGGGACCUGGGAAAUUGAACUCAAAUUAUCAGGCUUGGCCCCAAGUGUCUUUACUGCAAAGCCAUCUUGAUGCCUACCCUCCCACACCUGCCUUUUAAAAAAACAAAAAACAAAAAACAAAAAACAAAAAAACUGCAAGUUUCACUAAGCUACCCAGGCAAGUCUCAAACUGGGAAUCCUUCUGCUUCAAUAUCUGGGCUUACUUGGGUGAGCCACCAUGGUUGGUUCAGAUUUUCUUCUUCUUCAUUUUUUUUUCUGAUUCAAGUGACUGAAUGGAGUUAUAUUUUUAAUUUCAUUUUGUUUCCACGUUAGUAUAGAGAAUAUAAUUAAUUUUAAGCAUUUUUUUGUCUUUUUUUUUCCAGAGCUGAGGACCCAACCCAGGGCCUUGCGCUUGCUAGGCAAGCGCUCUACCACUGAGCUAAAUCCCCAACCCCAAUUUUAAGCAUUUUUAAUAACCUCGUUGAAUGUUUUUUUUCUGUUAAUUUCUGUGGAGGUACUUGUUAUUGCAGCUGAGCUUCACGAGUGCUGGAAGGCACUCUGCUGUGGACUUUCAGUCCUAGCUCCUGAACUAAUUUUUUAGUUCUAGCUAUUUUUUUUACAUAAAUUCCUUGAGAUUUUUGGCAUAAACUAUCAAUCAUAACAAAAUAGAGGCAAUGUUUUUUUUUCUUUCUGAUAUCUCUUUAUAUAUAUAUAUUUUAAUUUCCUUUUCUUGCCUUAUUGUACUGGCUAGGAAUCCCAGUAUUAUCUUGACUAAGAGCAGCAAGAUUAGAGAUCCUUGUCUUGCUCUAGAACUUAGAAGGGAAAGCAUCCGAUUUUGUCAUUUACGAUCACAGACCAGUACAUUUUUUUAUAGAUGUAAGUUUUGUUUGUUUUUGUUGCUGAGGCAGGGAGAUACAGUGGUAAUGAUGCCUGUGAUCUAAGCACUUGUGAGAGGCAAGAUGAUUUCCACAAAUCCCAGUUCCACAUGAACUACAUGGAGAGUUCUAGGGCAGCCAAGACUACAUGGCAAGACUCGGGCUGGAGAGAAGGCUCAGUGUAUAAAAGCACUUAGAACACACUCACAAGAACUCCAAUCCAGAUCCCUGGAAUCUGCACAGUACACAUCUGGAAUCCCAGGGCUCCUACUGUGAGAUGGGAAGUAGAGACACAAUCCCUGGAAACUCAAAGGCCAUCUAGACAGGCAUGGGUGGCAGUGAACACCAGAGACCCUCUCUCAAACAAGGAGGAAGGCUAGGACCACUCAAGGCAUCCCCUGACCUCCAUAUGUAUGCUGCCACACAUGUGCCUGUAGUCACACAUGUGAUCGUGUUGUACACAAGUCUCUGCCUAUGUGUGUAUAUGGGAGAGAUAGAGAGCACUUUCCUUAAAGAACACAAACAAUAACAGUGGCAACAACAGAAAUUUUCUUUCCUAUUCUCUGUAAGCCAUAAUAUACAAUUGGUGCUAACUCUUUAUUUCAGUAGAAUUAGAAUUCUCCAGUGAAGCUAUGUGGGUCUUGAGUUUUCUUUUUCAAGAGGCUUGUAAUUUCUAUGUUGAUGCUAUUAUGAUUAGAAAAGACAUUCUAUAUAAUCUCAGUUAUUUUCAAUUCUUUGAGAUUAGUUUUAUGGAUCGGUAUAUGUUCCUAUCUUGGUAUAUGUUCCUUUAGUACUUAAAAAAAAUAUGUGUUCUAUUGUUGUUUGGAGUAACCUAUGAAUGUCAGUUUGAGCCUAUUAACAGGUAGUGUUGCUGAGUUCUUCUAUACCCUGGCUCUUUUCUGUCUGCUAAACUGGUUGAUGAGAAGGGGAUGCUGAAGUCUCUAACUCUAAUCGUGGAUUUUUUUUCUCUUCUCUCUUCUCUCUUCUCUCUUCUCUCCUCUCUCUUCUCUCCUCUCUCCCCUCUCCCCUCUCCCCUCUCCCCUCUCCUCCUCUCUCCUCUCCUCCCCUCCCCUCUCCUCUCCUCUCCUCUCCUCUCCUCUCCUCUCCUCUCCUCUCCUCUCCUCUCCUCUCCUCUCCUCUCCUCUCCUCUCCUCUCCUCUCCUCUCCUCUUUUCUUUUCUUUUCUGAAAUGUGGGUUGAACCAAGACCUUACACGGGCUAGGCGAGCACUCGGCUGCUGGGCUAUCUUCCCAGCCUUAAUGAUAGAUCUCCUAUUUACCUUUCUUUAUGUAUUUCAAGACACUGAUGUGUGAGGCAUACACAUGUUUUGGAUUGCUUUAUCUUCAUAGAUUGAUACUUUUAUUAUAUGUUAAAAAUGUUAAUGAAGAAACUAAAAAUCUAGCUGUGUAUGGUAGCUCAGGCCUGUAAUCCCGGAUAUGUGGGAGACUGAGGCAGGGGGAUUGAAGCUCAAGACCUGCUUGAACAACCUAGCAAGAUUCUGUCUCAAAAUAAAAGUGAAAAUGGCUGAAGAUGUAGCUUGGGGGUAUAGUGGUUGCUCUAGCACACAUAAAGCCGUAGUAAAAUUAGCAACAACAACAUCAACAUUAAUAAUAUUUAAAUUUAAAAGUUGAAUAUUGCCAUAUUUAUAGGCUGGAAGAUUCAGCAUAGUAAAGUUAUCAAUUAUAUCCAAAAGAAGUAUAGGCUUAACAUAAGUUCUUUCUAAAUUACAUCAAAAUUACUUUAUUGUACUAGACAAUACUAUUCUAAAGUUCAUAUGGAAAGACAAAGAACCAGUUUAGUUUAGUUUUGUUUUACAUGUAUGUAUCUAGAAUGCGUAUUCAUGUGUAUGUUUGUGUGCAUGUAGGCCAGAGAAUUACUUGAGGAAUCGGUCCUCCCUUUGUAGCACGUGACCACACAGGUCACAGGGAUUGAACUCAGGUCAUCAGGCUUAGUGACAAGAAUCUUAACCUACUGAAACAUUUGAGCAGUCUUAACUAACUUCUUUUUUGAGACAGGGUCUUGCUCUGUAGCACAUGCUGGCACUGUAUUGUUAAUACUCCUGUCUCCGCCUCAGAGUGCUAGGAUUGCAGCAGUACACCGCAACUCCAGCCUUUACCUACAAUGAUUUUGAAAAAUGUGAACUAUGGGGAAACAUUCUCAUUCUAGGAUUUAUUAUAUAGCCAUGGUACUAAGGACCAUGAAGAAACAGAUUUAUAGAUCAGUGGAGCAGAAGACAAAACCUAGAGAGACUGAAAGAGUUACCUUAGAAUGGAUGGGCAUUUGGAAAAGGAAACAUCUGGAUUUUCUGCCCUUUUGCAGGACAAAAGAGGGUUUACAUUUUCAACAAAGCAUCAUCUAAAUUUCAAGAUAAAUGGAACACCCUAGAAUUUCUAAGGUACCUAGAAGAAACAGCACCUGAAACUUCUAAACUACCCCAAAUCCAUUUUUGAAAUGGUCUGUAGGUCUGGUGGCCAUAUUUUAUAAUGUAUAAUUGUCAGAUAAGAUGUAAAACUAAGGAUUAAAGCUUUGGUCUUUGGACAGGCUCUAUAACUGCUCUACUAUAAGAAUUAAAGCUUUGGUCUUUGGACAGGCUCUAUAACUGCUCUACUAUAAGGAUUAAAGCUUUAGUCUUUGGACAGGCUCUAUAACUGCUCUACUAUAAGGAUUAAAGCUUUGGUCUUUGGACAGGCUCUAUAACUGCUCUACUAUAAGAAUUAAAGCUUUGGUCUUUGGACAGGCUCUAUAACUGCUCUACUAUAAGGAUUAAAGCUUUGGUCUUUGGACAGGCUCUAUAACUGCUCUACUAUAAGGAUUAAAGCUUUGGUCUUUGGACAGGCUCUAUAACUGCUCUACUAUAAGGAUUAAAGCUUUGGUCUUUGGACAGGCUCUAUAACUGCUCUACUAUAAGGAUUAAAGCUUUGGUCUUUGGACAGGCUCUAUAACUGCUCUACUAUAAGGAUUAAAGCUUUGGUCUUGGACAGGCUCUAUAACUGCUCUACUAUAAGGAUUAAAGCUUUGGUCUUGGACAGGCUCUAUAACUGCUCUACUAUAAGGAUUAAAGCUUUGGUCUUGGACAGGCUCUAUAACUGCUCUGCUAUUGAGCUACAUCACUGGUUCUUACUGUCUUUUUCUUUAAACAAAAAACAGACAUUAGGUUUUUUUUUUUCUGACUGUGAAGCAAUAGAUAUUCAUGCUAGAAACUUUAAAAAGUAUAAAAAAGAGGAAAGAAAAAUUACUCAUAAUUUUAAUCUAGAUGACAAUUGGCAAAGUAUCAUUGAAGACAGAUGGAUAUAGUGACACUUGCCUGCAAUCCUAGCACUGGAGAGGCUGAGGCAGGAGGAUCACGAGUUUGAGGUUGACCUGGGCUACACAGUGAAACACUGCCUCAAACAACUGUUGUCAUUGAAGAUAACCUACUGCUAUCAUUUCUUUUGAAUGUUUUCCUGUGCAUAGCCACAUAGUCACACAUAUAUGCAUUUAUAAAAUUGAGAGUCGAUGGCAUUAAACCAUUUUGUGUUUUUUUUUUACUUAAUAUAUAAUACUUGUCUCACCCGAGUCUUUCCAAAAAUCUUCUUUGUAGUUGGCUGCAACAAUUUUUUCAUAUAAAAAUGCUAGAUGGAAUUAGCAUUAUGCCUCAAAUUUAGUAUAUCAAAACAGAAUAUGACAUGAACAGAAUAAGUUAUUUUAAGCAUGGGUGUGGAAAGCUAGGCGUCCUCCACUGGUAGCCUCCCAGUCCUGCUUUUUGCCCACCUAGGAAACCCCAGACUGACCUUCCUUCUUCCCUUAUCCUUGAUUCUCUAUAAAUGACCUAUUCCCAAGGCCUGGUGACAGUCUUUACACACUAUUUCUCAGCUCUAGUCUAGACUCAUCCAGGCCCACAUUGUCACGAUCCAUCGCAAUCAUCACUCUAUCGUGUCAUUUCUCAUUGUAGAACCUAGAAUGGCUUCCAGGUUGUUGUUGUUGUUUUUUUUUUUUUUUUUCAGUUCAGUCAGCCAGCUUUGUCCUCAUGCUUCUGAGAGUCCCUUGCUGACCGUCACAUCUGUCCUCUGCUCUAUUCAGAUCCUCCAGCCAUCAGAAAGUAAUCUCCCUCACGCUUUACCCUCAGCUGCUUCUAUGCAGUGUCAGCCCCUGUGAUAUCCCCAGCCAUCCAUGGAGGCUAACUUCAAUUAGUCCCUAGAGGCAGAGGUCAUGUUUUCAGCCACUUAGUGCUCCUGACACCAAACACAUUGGAGGUUCAAAAACAACUUGAUUGAGUUGAUAUUUAACGAGAAGACAGGACCAUACCUCUUAAAAUGUAACUGAUUCAGAAUGCAUUUUGGGGCGCCUAUGAAGAGUAGGAAUGGAUUACAAAGAAUGAUGAGGUAAAAACAGGGGAGAGAUGACUAGUAGGCACAGGCAAGUCAGUGCUACCAUGUGGAGUGGAGGCUAGCUACCAGGCCUGGAUUCAAGUCUGCAGUUCACUACUUGGCUUUAUGUGGCUGUAAGUAUGGUGGACUGUGCCCGUGGUUACCAGUCUCCUACUGCAUAAGGACAUACAUGAGACAGUUUAUGUGAAGUUCUGAACACAGUGAAUGUGUGGUACACUUGCAGUUCCUUUUUACCUCAUGGUUUUAGUAGAACAUUCUGGUUUUCAUAAGUGAUCUGUCAAUGGCCUUCACCUCAUGGUAUAUUACAUUUAAGCUGCUAAUUUAUUAUAACUUUUGGGGAAUAGCCCUCAAUUUUUUUUUUUUUUUUUUUUUUUUUUUUUUUUUUAGAAUUUGUAAAAAUUGAAGCAUGCCACUUUUGUAACUCAUUUGGCAACAGUAGCCACAAUAAACCUUUCCAUUCCUUCUGCUUUUAGUGAAGCAAAGCUACUAGUCUGAUCAGUGGGAAAGUGCAAGCAGGUGGCCGGCUCCUGGAGUCUGCUGGGGGUGGGGGAGGGAUGCGGAGAGGGCAGAGAGCAGGAAGGGGAGAUAAGGGAGACACAGCACAGAGAUCUUUACUUAAAGCCAAGCAAACUAGUUUGGGAUUUCCACCACAGUCCUGCUCCAAAGUCCUUCCAAGAAACCGGAAACCAAAUGGUCGGUUUGUCCUUGGGGUCAACCCUGCUUUCUAACCCCUUUUCAAAUGCUUCUCAGUAAGAGGGGGGGGUUAAGCCUCAGUUCUUUGGGGUAGUGUCUCUUCAACAGAACUGCUGUAAGCUUAAGGCUCCAGCAGCCCUUGAAGUCUGAGCCCCACUGCCAACCCAUAGUACCUUCAGACUCCAGGCUGCAGUCGGGGUGGGGCGGGGUGGAUGCUUCUUUCCCCAUCCCCCACACAAUAGUUCUCUCAAGAAUAUUAGCAGCAGAUGUGCAAAGGGUCUCAGCAUGGGGCUGUGGAACUGUAAACAGCAGGCUGGAGCUGGUGGCCAUAGCACACUGGAGGUGGCAGGAGCUACCCCUUGUUACCCUGUCCUCCUCUUAGCUCAGAACGGAGGAGUUCAAAGGUCCAGAUUUCAGUUGAGUGGGAGCUGAUGGAGCACUCAAAGGCAUGGCUUGGGGGCCAGAACUUUAGGAGUAGCUCAUGGCCGUUUUCCUCUUGUUUCCAGGGAUUUGGUGCUUUGGAUCAGCGACAUGGAAGGAGCAGAGUGUGCAGUGAGGGGGAGAAAGAAGGGAAAGACGCACGCAAGCUGGUAAUAGGAAUGUCACAGGACCAGAAAAGUCUAGCUGGAAUACUGCAAUAUCUUUUGCACUCUACCUGUUCAUCCAUUUGUGAGUAGCUACUGGUGAAAACAGCGUGAGUAAACUAUGCUCUUUCUACUAGAAGCUUAUGAAUGCAAUGCUCUCAACAUUGCCUCUGAUACAUUCUUGACACACGAAUUGCCUGUUGGAUCCUCCCAGGUUGAAAGGUAGGAAUUAUAAUGUUUGCAUUACUCAUAUUCCAAAUCUUUUCUGAAACUGGGAAUUCAUAGAUCAUAUCGUUUUCUAAAUGUUUGAAUAUUUAAAGUAAAAAGUCUACUGGGUAAUUUAUACUAGCGAUAAAUAUUUAAAGAGCAAGGAACGAUGCAAAUCUUUUCCUUUGCCAAGGUGUUGCAAGCAAGAAUUCUUGACAAAAAUAACCACGCAGAAAAGAAAGAGCCUAUACUUUGGGGUUUCUGCCUUAAAAUGGCAUCAUGUCUGUGAAUCCAUAGGCUUUCUUAGGAGGUGGCAUUUUAUCUCAGUGCAGAUGAAGACACAUAUCUGCUGGUAAUACUUCUAGUAUUACUGUGGGGAAAGCUGUACACAGGAGACCCAUUGUUCAUUUUUUCAGACAGUGUGUUGGACAGAGCAAUAACAUUUGAUCUUUGGAGCUAGGCAGACCUGACCUCAAAUCCCAGCUCACAUUUUUGAUUGAGGCCAUCAUCUACUCACGGCAUUGGAGGAACUCUUCCCGUCUUUAGUCCCUCCCUCUCCAAUUCAUCCUUAUGCUGCAGCCUAGGAAACGCUCAAAACUACAAAUAAGAGCUUGCCAUUCUCCUCCAGUAAACCUCUUAGUGACAGCACAUCUUUGACAGCAGGGGCUAAGCUCCUUAGCCUGACUCAUCCAAGGCUGGCUUCUCACCCUCCACCUACCUGUCUUCAGAUGAUCGAUUGUUUUCAGUUGCACAGAAGGACACCCACAUGUACUUCCCCACUUGGGUUAUUAUACUCCCCUAGAAUCACUUUCCACCCUCCUGGGCCUGGUCCAUGUGAGUCAUUCUUGCACUGGGACUGGGGUCAGCAGAACUGAGACAAGCACAGGCUCAAGGGCCAGAUGCCAGGGGGAGUCAGGGCCCCCAAGUCAGCCUGCCUCUCCUGGCUUCAGUAGCCGGAUUAAUUACUGUGGAGCUAUUGACAGUCAUAAAAAGGCCAUUAUUUUUUUUAGCAUAAGAUUCUUUAAAAUUACUUCAUUUAAAAUAGUCAUGUAAGUAAAAAAAUUCCAUAGAAGAAAAUGAUAUUUAGUAAGAGACUAUGAGUCUGCUAUGUCCUAGAUACCCAAUUCUUUUUAGCAGCUCUCUCCCUACCCUGUUUGGAGAAAUAGCCUGUAUAUGCAAGCAGAAAGAUAACAUUUUAACACAAUAUUGUAACAUGCUCUAUUACAGCAGCCUGUGUUUGCCUUUUUCAUUUCAGCACAUUAUCUUGGAGAUCCCUUCACAAUGUAUUUGAUUUAAUCAAUUCUCUCCUAGUGAACAAGCAUGCAGGCUGUUUUUAAACUUCUAUAAUGCGCUGUAAUAACCUCUUACUAUUCUUGCUGUGUCCCUGAUCACCAGAAGGGAAAUUCAUUAUUUUUUGCUUUUAAAAAAUCUGUUUCUUUAUUUUCUUUUUAUUAAAAAUUAUACUUAUUACUCUUGUUUUCUAAUUAUAAAAGUAAUACAUUCUAUUCGUAGAGAACUGGGAAAAUAUUUGAAAAACACAAAGGAAAAAUGAUCAUUUACAUUUCAAACAGUGGUUAGCAUUUUGGUGACUGUGCUCAUGUUUUUUUUUUUUUUCCCCUAUUUAUACAUAUGUAUUUUACAUACGGCCUAUUUUCACAUUUCUGGGAGAACUGUGCAAUAAAAUAUAGUGAAAAAGAAUAAUAGGCGAGUCAUGGUAGUGUGCAUCUUUAAUCUCCAUACUUGGGAGGCAGAGGCAGGUGGAUGGCUGUAAGUUUGAGACCAGCUUGGACUACAGAGUGAGCUGUGAGUUCUGUGUUAGCCAAGGCUACAUAGUGAGACAUUAUAUCUAUCUAUCUAUCUAUCUAUCUAUCUAUCUAUCUAUCUAUCUAUCUAUCUUAACAUAUUUAGGAUACUAACUCAUAUAUUUCAUCCCAUUAAAUUCACAAAUUGACCUUAUUAGGCAUUUAUUUCUCCUCUGAUUUUACAGGUGGGGAAAACAAGGCAAAACAAGUUUUCAGAGUCCUAACACUCUAGGGAUUUGAAUUGGAUAUAUCAAAUCCUGCUCUUAUACACUCUAUACCCUUGCCCCUGGCAAUGUUUUGAUUCUAGCAAAACAGGAAAGACAUAGAUAAAUCCUCUACAAUUCAUUAGCAAACCUGUGCUCUUCAGAAAUGCACAAAGACGAAUGCUUACUGUGACAGACUGUACUGGCAAAAAUCAGGACCAGUCCAAAGGUCCAUAAAGAUGCGAAGAGAAAACUAAAACACAGAACAGACUUAACUAAUGAGAGAUUACCAAGCAGUGGAACAAACAGAAAUAGAUCGAUAUGGAUAGAUAUUAAAAACAACACCAGAGGCAGGAAAGGUGGCCCAGCAGUUAAGAACACUGGCUGCUCUUCCAGUCUGAAUCCUGGCUCUGCCAAUUAUUCACGUUGUCAACUUGGGCAAGCCAUCUGUGAAAUGGGGAUAAUAACAGUUGCUAUGAGGAUCUAGAGGAUUAAAUGUAUUUAAGAUGCCCUCAAGAAUGCCAGGCAUUCUCCAUGAUGCUUGUGAGGCACCAUGCUCUGGGGAACCUCCUUGUUCUCACCCUGGGGAUGGAGGGAAGUGUCAGACAAUUUCUGUCUUUCCAUCUAUGACUGUGGAGAAACAUAAGUAUGUGAAUUCCAUGGCAACAGGACAAGGUCUCUUUUUGUGUCAGUAACUGUAAGAUCUCCGAGAAAAGUGUGAUCAACUACUGACUUGCUGGGUGUCCAGGAAGGAUAUUACAGAGGACAUGGAAAUCGGAGCCUAAAGGGAAGGAAGAGUAGAAUUUCACUGAGCAACCAAGUGCAAAGAAGGCUGUUCCCAGAAGGAAUUGUCUUGGUUAAAGGCAUGUCUGGAACUGAGGUUCAGGGUACACAUAGGGUAGUAUAGCAGGAAAAACAUAGUGUACAAAUAUAGAGGAUGUGUUUUUCGGAAAUAUUUUUGAACCUGUGAGUUUUGGGUAUGUGUUGUAUGUAUACAUAUGUAAACCCUGGUAUUUCUAUCCUCAUGUACCUGACUGCUGAACUGACAUGGUGAGACCUAAUUCCUUUCUGUCUAUAUUUAGAGCAAGAAAGUAAGGAGGGCUAAUGAGGUUAAUAAAGGGUGCAUGAUCUGAGAAUGCCAGACACCUUUAAUCCCAGCAUUUAAGAGGCAAUGGCAGGUGGGUUUGUGAAUUCAGUGCCAGCAUGGUCAUAUAUAUAGUAAAACCCUGUUUUUUUAAAAAACCCAAACCAAAAACCCCCACAAACCAAACCAAACCAAAACAACAACAACAAACAAACAAACAAACAAGAGUGUCUAUAUAUGAAAAGAGACCACAUAGUACUGAGGAAAGGCCAUGGGAACACAUGCUGCUAAGGCAGCUGUCUCAGAGCUAUCGAACAAGCUGACUAUGCCAGCACCUUCACUUUCGUCUCCCAGUCCCCAGAACUGUGAGAAAACAAAUCCCUGUUGUUUAUGGUUUUGCAUCUUAUGGGAUUUAGUUUUGAUAGCCGGUGAUAAUACACUUAGUUUUAGCUCCAUUAUGGAUAGCUGUUUAUGCACUAUGUUGUGCCAUUCCCCUAACUGGUUGUCUGAUGCAGCCUCUGCUUUUCUACUCAGCCAUAAGCUCCCUCAAGAAGCACCUAUGUGGAGGCCACAGUGGUGGGCAGCAAAUGCUCCAGAAGAACUAGAUGUAACCUCACAGGGGAUAUGCUGAGUGUUCACAGUGAGGAAAGGGUUGUGGGACUGGAAUUGGUGCUAGCCGUCACAGAUGUCCUAAGUGUCCCUAAACACAUUAGCAUAUUUCUUUCUUUCUAUCCAUUUAUUUCUUCAGCUGUGUUGUUUCUUCAGCCCUUCUAUUAUAGAGUCUUAGCUAAGACAGAAUGGAAUCCAGGACUUUCAGAGCCGUUAUAAGGAAGCAGAGAACCUCUACCUAGACAGUUUUCAUUCAGAAGGACCUGGGCUCAAAAUCUAGAUGUCUUACUUCCUAAGCCUGGUUGCCAUCACUGACUUGGCAUGAAGUGCUUUCUACCCACUGCGCGCACUUAUCAUAACCACCCCGCCAAGUGGCUUUGAGGAGCACUGAUUUUAGAAUGAGGAAAGUAAGCUUCUGGGAGUCUGGAGAAACGACCCAAGGUUCAUGUUGCUUGUUAAAGAGCCCCAAAUGAUUCAGCGUUACAAAACCCCAUGUUCUUUGUGCCAUGCCACAAUCCCCCAAAGAGUAUAAAACUUAGCAUCUAGAACAGUGGUUCUCAACCCGUGGCUCAUGACCGGUCCAUCUCCAAAAGUAUUUAUAUUAUGAUUCAUAACAGUAGCAAAAUUAUAGUUAUGAAGUAGGAAUGAAGAUAAUUUUUUGGUUGGGUGGGGGUGUCACCCCAACAUAAGGAACUAUAUUAAAGGGUUGCAGUAUUAGGAAGGUAUACAAGUACAUUGUAGCUGUCCUUAGAUACAUCAGAAGAGGGCAUCAGAUCUCAUUACAGAUGGUGGUGAGCCACCAUGUGGUUGCUGGGAACUGAACUCAGGACCUCUGGAAGAGCAACCAGUGCUCUUAACUGCUGAGCCAUCUUUCCAGCCCCCUAUAUGAAACUUAAAAGGAUGACACCAUGCACCAGGGACAAAAGUUCUUGCCUUUCUUUGGGAAAACAGGAAGCUAAUGCCUUAAUGCUUAAGCAAAGAAAGGCCAACUGGAAGCAGCUUUUUGGAGGGGACAUUGACCCAAGAGACAACACACUAUUUCACUGGGCUAAGGGUGCAAUAGAGGGCAGGGAUAUAUAUCACUAUUUAUUGCUACAUAUUUAGCAAUCUGCACCAUGCCAGCUCCAGAAGGCACCCAAUGACUUUGUGGGAUGAACUUACUCAGUGCAUCUCCAGGGCUGAAAAACUUAUAGUCUAUGGCCUGGUAUUGUGGCCACUAGAAAGGUGUAGCUAUAGAGAUUAGACCUGAAAGCGCCAGCCACAUAGCUGCUAAGGGUUAAAACUGAAGAAGUACAUUUUUGAUACAUUUCAGAGUCUGCAAUGUUAAGAUUCUCUGAUAGGAAUUUUCCCAAAGAGUCAAUUCAGACACCCAAUAAAAGGGUUACAAGUGGACCUGCAUAUAAUUUGCAAAUGGUUUAUGUUAAACUACAUUCUCUGUCAUCUAUUCCCUGGUGAUUUUCAAGGCAAAAAAUUUAUUACUUCUCUAAAGGUUAUUGCAUAAUUUAUAAAAAUAAUAAAAAUUUAUCUUCUUCUUCUUAAAAAGAGGCUAAGCAUUACUGCAUUUCACUGUCAAGGCUGUUCAGUGGAGACAACUCAUAUCUUUAUUAUUGCCAUAUAAAAUGUUUGAUCAAUCAUAUUUAGAUUCUAUUAUAAAACUUAAAAUGUGAGCACUCCUUAUCCAUAUUAGCUAAGAUGACUGACAUUCUUAGGACACCAAGCUUUAUGUCACCCACACUAGGACUGGCCCACUUCAAUGGCAUUUUGUUUUUAGAAUUCAAGCAUCCCCAAGCCCUCCACAUAGAAAGUGUCAGUGAGGAGCGAAAGCAAGGGCUGUUUCCCCUGCUUCUUACAAGCACAGCUAGGCUCCGGUGCCACUCACUCUUCUUGAAAGCAGGGAAGGCAGAGGUGACAGAGAGCAGAACUGUGAACACCAGUUCCUAACUCCCAGGCGGAAGUCUGGCUUUGUAAGCCGAUCCGUGACAGAGCAGUAAUUUAUAAAUGGAAAGAGAUAUGGGUCUCAUCAUUCAGCGAGCAUUUAUUGAGGGCCUGCUAUGUGCAAGCCACUAGAUAAGCAUCACAGCUUAAUAAGGAGAACUUUCAAAUCCACCAGGCCUUUUCUUGUCAUUGCCUUAAAAUAUCAUGUCGUGUAUUUUAAAAUGACAAUGUAAUCAUGACAAGCAAAUCCAAACUUGACACUAGUGCAACUUAUAUUUGCCUUCUCCCAGUGAUGAUAAAAAGAGCUGCAUAGUUUAAUAAGUAUUUGCCCACACUGUUCCACUGGCUUGGAAUUCCUUUCCUUUUCUCCUGUCUGCCUCUUGAAAUCCUACCUACCCUUUUCAGAUAGAGUUCAAAUAACAUCUUCUCUGUGAAACCCUUCUGACACUCCUCUAAGAAAAUUAAUUAUUCCCUUCUAAACACAGAGCUCUUUGCAUGGAUUCUCUAUUCACAUACUGCCUAUGGUUCCUUGCGCUUUACUCUGAGCUAGAGUCUAUAGGUAAGGGCAAACCUCUGACUUAUCUUGGGAUCCCCAACACAAUGCCUGUGAGUGACAGUAAUCUGUAAAUGAUUGCUGAAGCUGUCCAGUCAACAUGCAAAAGACAUCUAUUAAUAUGUUACAGAGCAUGCCAGAGUAACCUAACGAGACCUUGCACAUAGUAUAUGUUCAGUAAAGGCUGCUGGCUUUGAAUGUAGUAAAUAUGCCAUUUCUCUUAAGUUAAGGCUACACACAAGACUUCUGGCUAGUCCUUCUAUAUGGUACCACAGCAGUAGGCACCAGCCUUAUAUGAAUGUCUUUGCAAUAUUCCAGAUACAAACUGUUACAUGUGCCUAAAAGUAUCACCCCUUCUGCCCUACCAGAGGGCAUAAAGUACUUCACUGAUAGUGGCUUCUUUGGGUAAGAAAUUUGCUUCGGAAGUGCCUUGUCUAUUACUUUCAGGUAAGAAAGAAUAUACCAGAAGUGACCUGAAAGAUUUGAUAACUUUCAGAGGACCUGGCUGUCAUUUUACACUCCUUUUCCAACCACCAUCGGCAUUCCAGCAAGGCUCAGAACACAGCAAAAGGCCCUAAGAAGAACCAAGUGGAAUACAAUUUUAAUUGUGCCUUGUCUUUAGACUGGAUAGCUCCUAACAGCUUAGGGUUUUGAAUUUGCUGCACAUGAAGGUGCUAUGUGGUAAAAAUUUAAAUAUGGCAAAAUCUGUAAAUAUUAUUUAGUAUCUUAGGACUAAAUAAUUUUUGAAUCAUGGCCUUUCAUCAUAGCCAUUUAUAAAAGUCUACUGAUUUUAGAAUGUGGGGAAUUAAACCCCCCUUUCUAGCGGUUUGUAUACAAUAUAAAUGGAUGUCUACUGGAAUGCAUUUUAUAGCUUGAAAGUUCUGCUUUUAUAAGAAAUAUGCCCAUCUUGUUGCCCCCUUGGGGUACAGUCACCAAAGGUCCUUUUCCUCCAACACAGGCACAACAAUGCCUAAUCAAUUCUAUAUUUGCCAGAGACCCAUUAGAUGGGUGCCAGACUUCCCAAAACAUUCUAGUUGGGAGUACCUGAGAUGAGGGGCGGGGGUCCAGUUCAGUGGUGGUGUGCUUGCUCAGCAAGUACAAAGCCCCGGGUUUGAUUCCUGACACGACAUAAAAAAGUAAUCAGGGUGAUCUUUGCCUUUCUGUUAAAAAAACCAAACCAAACUAAGAUGUUUCACAACUCACAAACAACUGAGGGAGUUCUUAUUUAGUAUUGGUAGCUUAAUGAAUUAGGUAGAAGGACACAUCUAAAUUCUGUUGAGUUUAGCUGAAACAAAGACUAGGCCUUGCUUCCAAAACAACAUGCUAUUUGAACAGUAAAACCCUCCAGAGUCCAGAGAUAAGCACAGUUUCUGAGCAUAAUCUCCCCACUCCCCCCCGCCCCCCGCCUGCCUUGGUCAGCUUGCAGAGGCAUGGGCGAGAGGACAAUGCCAAUACAAAUGGAACUGUAUUCGAAGGAAGCAAAAGGAGGGCCAGAGCAGUGGGUGAAAAGUUAACUGACUUCACUUAGACCACCAUAUUAAAACCAGAUGUGGCUAAACUGUUUGGAUGAGAAAAACUGGUGUUACUGAUAGCGUGAACAAACCCUUUGUGCUUCCCUCCCAAUACAGUAUCAUUACAGGGCGCUGGAGGUGUCAUUUUCUUUCAUUCCACAUGUAGCACAUUCUCAACAAGUUAAACCGUUUCUAAUCUCGUGUAAUUAGAUAGGUCUCGCUACAUCCCUCAGUUGAAGGAUUUUAUGAGCUUUCUUGUUCUGUCUCCCUUUUGUGACAGCUUCUUUGGAGCUGGAAACUAACAUUUACUAACAUUUCUUCCCUUCUGGCACCUGUCAGCUGGAUGGGCUCUGGGAAAAGGAGGCUCGGGAGGAAAGGAAUGGAAUGCCUACUCCCUGCCUGCCUGGCUUGGUAUCACAGCCCUCUUUGUCUUGCUCUGCUCUGGAAAGUGCUAUUAAAUAUACAUUCAAAAUAAACAAUGGGCAGAGGGACGAAUAAAAUGAUGAAGAUCUUAAUUUUCUAUUUAACAUAAACGUCAAGUUCCUUUAUUUACUAAAUGUGCAGCCAGGGUGAGGUGCGAGCCAGAGAUGGAAGCUCUUUCAUACAGCCCCAGGGUGACCCACCCUGCAAAGCACAGAGGCUCAGCUCUUUGAUCUCCCCGGCCAGUCACUUUGGGCAGAGCCCACCACUAGCUACAGCGACCCCAGCAUGACUGCCUUCUCUUUCUUUUGGAGCAGAGUUUGAGGAGUCAUCGGACAUUUGACAUCAGAAUCAAAGGCUGGAUAAACACAAGGGUUUUUACUUCAAUGAAGAAAUAAUAAUCGCCCUUUGGAAUUGAAAGUUUUCCCUUCAAAAGGCUUUACGGCUUUCCCCCAACAAGAGCUUUUCUGGGGUCAUUUCUUGACCAUUCUGUGACGUCUUUGUGAGGUCGCUGACUGGCAAAUGCUCUCCAUGUGUCGACGGGAAAACACAGAAUUAAGGCCGAUUAUGCUUCUAUGUUGUAGGGCUUGUGCAUGAUUGAUUAUAUGCAGGGCCUGACCUCUUACCACAAAAUUCUGUGGUUUUUGUCCCAUAAUGAGGAAAGACAACUGAAGGAGUGCAGUAUAGAACAGAAAUGCAUGAGUGACAGGGCCACCUGACGUUCCCUGGUACUUUACAGUUUAUAAAUCGCUUUCAGAGUUGCCCUUUCAUGGAUAGGCAGUGUUCACUCCUAUUUCACCAAAGCAACUGGACAGCAGAAAUAAGAGCCUGAGUUGGCACUGGCAGAGCUCCGGGUUUCUCACGCCAGGGCGGGGCCACUGGGGUGAGCGAGUGCUGUGCCUUCCAGGAAUAGUACUGGCUGCCCGAGAGAGACUCCUUGUAGAUGGUCUGGAUUGGAGAUUAAGUUGGGUUCUCUUUGCAUUCCAUUUAGCAGAUUGCUCAUGCUUUCACUACAGAUCAGGCUCAGGAAUUCCUCUGCCAGCUGAGAAUCUGAAUGUUGCUUUGGCUGUGAGACAGUAUCUUAUUUAUUCCCAUAAAUCCCUUCCCCCUCUUGUCCCUGAGUACUUUCACCCUAAAAUGGAAAAGGGGGCAGGGAAGAUGAUGUGAACAUUUGGGUGCUGGACCGAAGCCACCCUUGGCAGUUUUUGUUCAUCUCUAAGACGCUCCCCAGCAUCGACUAUAGGCCAGUGAGUCACCCAGAGUAACACAUAGUCCCUGUAGCCUUCAUAAAUUAGUUCCUCAAAAGUGCUGCUGAGGAAACAAAGCAAGCGGAGUUCAAGGGUGAAAAGCAAAAGCUGCUUUAAAGAACACUAGUCAAUUUCCAAGGAGAGGAUGAAGAUGGGGCUGCAAGUGAUGAAAGUGGUCUGCACUUUUCAGAUUUCCUCUCCAGUUUUAAAGUGGAGGCUUGAGCCUCUUAUGUCCAAGGGGAGCUUUGACAUGAGGAAGUCAGUUCACCCUGGCCCUGCUCACUGUCUAACAAUCCAGGGGCUCUGAGCAGUUACACAGCUCAGCAUCCCUGGCAGAGGGAGGGCAGUCCCAAAUUGGAAAGGAAGAAAAACGAGAAGCAGCUGGCACAAAUGAUGCCUAGUGCUACGCUACUCAUCUAUCCAGCUGUCUCUUUAGCAUCGCUGUUAGUGCAUCUCUCAAUGACCAAGCUCAGUUUGUACACAUAGAGGUCUCUUUUGGUCAUUGCUGUGUUUGCUUGCCAUGAAACAGAGGGAAAAAAAUGUAAAGAUAAGCGAAGUCAGAUGGGCAGACACAUCUGUAAAGAUGUUUGCAGGUGCUCCUUUCUGGAAACGUACACAGAAGGAACACCACACAGGAGGGUUCUGUACAGUGCCCAGAAGCCACUUGUCACAGGCAGCAUGGAGGGUGAGGACAGGCUGCAUUGGUCUGUAGGACAGUUUCACUUACACUUCUAUUUAUAGUCUCAAAACUAAAUAUGAAAAUGGGAGUUCCUGAUUAAAGGAUGGCCAUUUGGAGAUACGCGUGGCUUUGUUUUUCUACACUUCUAGAGAGCCAACUCAGCAAUACUUAGAAGAGCUCUAAUCAAUAGAGAGGAGGUUAAUUACUCACCAACCUGGAGACCAGGAGGGGAAAUGUGCAAGCUGUUUUCCCCUCAGGUAGACUUAGAAUUUUUGUCUGUUUAGGCUGGAAGGGACUACAAAGUGUAUCCUAGUUAAACCCCGAAGAGAACUCUGGAAGAAUUGGAUGUUGUCUUGGGUCACAUGAGCUGGUGGAAAAUUCCAUUAGAAAACAAAACAAAACCACCUCUCUGGUGCUUUACGCCUCAAGUUUCUGCCCAUCCUCCAGCCCUGUACCUUUAGAGACCUCUAAAGCUACCCAGCAUGUCAGAGUCUGUCCAAUUUCGCUCUUCUAUGACAACACUGGGAAGCUCAGUGCCUGAGUACAUCCUUGGCCACUACACAGGGCAUGAUUAUUCCUGUACUACUGAGCUUCCUGAAAUCUGCCCUCUUUUACAGGCAGUAGGAGGGAAAUAGGAGAGCCAUGCACCCAGACCAACACAGCUGCUGUGGAAGUCCACUACUGCUUACAAGUCUGUUUUUUUACUCUUUAAAACCUUUCUUUAUAAAACCUUAAUUUCAACAAAAGCUGUAACAAUGGCUGCAGGUCGGGCUCACUAGUAAGAAAUUUGGCUAGCAUUCAUGGAGGCCUAGGUUCCAUCUCCAACAACCUGCCCUCACUCCCUGCCCCAUGCAAUUGUAUAUAUUUCUAGUGUAUGAGGUGGUGUUUUCACAUAUACAUUAUUAAAAAGCGAUGAAACCAAGCUAAAGAACAUAUCUUCUGGGUUGGGAGAGGGUGAGGAGAUAUUAGUCAAAGGGCAUGCGUGUCAGGUAGGAGGAGGAAGGAUCACGAUGAACUUAACACUGGCCCGCUGUGUACUUGGAAAUUGCCAGAGGAGCAGAUUUGAAAUGUUUUCAUCAUAGUUUUUACAGGUUCCAAUCUGAAAGUUCUUAGAAGAAAAGAAUUCCUCUCAAGUUCUCAUUUUAAGAUAUAAUUGAUAUGUACAAAUGCCUCAUAUACCUAAAUCAUAUUUGUAUGUAAUUUUCUAUACCUAAACACUUAACAUACAUGUAAAUUAUGGAGUCUAAAAUAUGUAGCUGUAAACCUACCACUGCCGUGCACACAUCUACCAAAUAUGACCAGCUGCACUGAGGCACCCGUCCCCCACAAGCUACCCUCACCCCACCCCACUGUUUUAAGUACUAGAGCGGUAUGGUAACAUGUAAUAUCUGAUAGAGGAAGUCCUAUCUUACUGCUCUUCAAGAAUGCCCUGGCUUUUCUUUGCAUACCUAUAUAAAAUUUAGAAGCAACUCAUCAAAUUCCAUGAAAGGCCCUGUAAGAUUUUUGAUAGGAAUUACAAUGGCUAUAUUGAUUGCUUUAGACUAUCUAUUGAUUGUAAAGGAUAGCUUUACAAUAUUGAGUCUCCCUACCUCUGAACAGGACACGGCUCUUUAUCUUGAUAAAGUUUUAUAAUUUCCUCCACAAUGGAUCUCUGGCACAUAUUUUGUUUGAUUUAUUCUUGACACCUUCUAUUUUUACUGCUGUCGUAGUUUUAAUUGCAUUUUUGAUUCUUGCUGCUGCUGUAUAGACAUGACACUGAUCUCCUUGCAUUCUUUCUGAAAUGUGUAUCAAUCCGACUUUUCCAUUUAGCUCUAGUAACAUUCCUCCAGGCCUCCGUGACUCUCUGUUGCUUAGUGCAACUGUCAAUUUUCAGUUCUUAUCUUGCUUGAUUUUCCCAGCAGCACGUGACACAGUUGAGCACAACCUCCUCUUUGAAACACAUUUGUCACCUGGCUUCUAGAACUGCAUACUCUUGAUUUUCCCUCUUUGUGUCUGUUUUCAGUUCUUUCUGUCUUCUUUGCUAGUUCUUAUUUCUCCUCCAACAUUUUGACUUGGGACUAUCUCAGAGCUCAGUUUCUAGACAUCUCCUCUUCUCCAGCUAUACACCACCCCCCUUGGUGAUUUUAUUUAUCUCAUAGUUUUAAAAUUUACCCAUAUAUUAACUCCCAGUUUUACAAUGCUAGUCCAACUCACCGUCAGGAAAUAGCUAGAGAGCUGUAUUUUUCCCUUCUACCAACUUGACAUCUCCAGCUCAACAUGCCCAAGCUGGACUCUUUAACUUAUCAUUUGAAACUAUGCUUCCCACAGUCUUCUCUCAGUUUCUGACUCCGUAAUUCCAGUUACUCAGAAAAAAAAUCUUUGAGUCCUUGCCUUCCCUCAGCCCACACACAAUAUGUUAGAGAAACCUACUCAUCCUACCUUUGAAAUAUACAUGUGCUUCUCACAGUGUACUCCUGCAGUCCGAGUUCAAGCCACCACAAUGUUUUAAAAGUGAUUUUAGUAAGAUAUAAUCUACACACCAUAAAACUCAUCCAUCCAGCCUUUUAGUGUAUUUACAGAGUUAGGUGAACACCAUCAGAACCUAAUUAGAGAAUAUUUCGGUUUCCUCUAAAGGAAAGCAGUAGUCAUUAACAGUCAUUCUUGAUUGUUUCUUUCUCCACACCAAGUGGCUUUAGGCACAUCUUAAUCUCCUGUUGCUAAAGAAUGUGGCCUUUGCGUGCUGUGCUCCAUUAUUCUUUAUUACCAUUCCAUAAUUCUCCAUUGUAUAAAUAUAAAAUACCACAUUUUAAAAGAUUUAUUUAUUUUAUGUAUGUGAGUACACUGUAGCUGUCUUUAGACACCCCAGAAGAAGGUGUCAGAUCCCAUUACAGAUGGUUGUGAGCCACCAUAUGGUUGCUGGGAUUUGAACUCAGGACCUUUGGAAGAGCAGUCAGUGCUCUUAACCACUGAGCCAUGUCUCCAGUCCCCACAUUUUAUUGAUAUGCUGACCAUCUCUGACAUUUGAAUUAUCUCUACUUUCAAAUUAACAUGAAUAGUGCUGCUGUGAACAUUUGUGUACAAGUUUUUGUGUGGACAUGUUUUCUAUUUUUUUAUUAUUUAAAACAAAAUUAAAUUAAAUUAAAUUUUAUUUCAUUUUGAUUGUAUUCUUCCCCUCCCCCAAAUCCUUCCAGAUCCUCUCUCCUUCCCUAUCCACCCAAGUUUUUUUCUCAAUAAACAAAACUACAACAACAAAACCUAGGAAAACAAAAUAAACUGUGCCCUGCUACGGAUAAAAAACUAAAUACAUAACCCACCAAACAGUGACCAAAUAAAAGUGAGUACUCGUGUGCAUGUACACACACACACACACACAAACACACACUGUGGAGUCCGUUCAUUAUAUGCUGGUCAACUACUCCUGAACAUGAGGCCUGUCCUGGAGUGGUUGACAUAUCCAGUGUUACUCUAUUGGAAACAAAAGGUUUUCCCUCUCCUAACCUUUACCCUUAUGGCUAGGUUUUCAUUCAUUCCCUCAUUAAUUUUAGAAUAUAUGACAAAAUAACAUUUAGCAAGAAAAAGCAAAACUAUUAGUUCAGAGUUAGAAUAUACAAAUCAACAGAAGGAAAAGGGUCCAGGAGAAGGCACAAGAAUCAGAACCGCCCAAGAAUCCAUAAAAACUCUAAACCGUAAGCCAUAGUAUACGUGCAGAGGACCUGCUGUGGACCUGUGUUGGUCCUGUGCUUGCUGCUGCAGUCUCUGGGAGUUCAUGUGAGCUUUGCUCAUGUUGAUCUUGAGGGUCUUGUUUUCUUGGUGUCCUCAUGUUUUCACUGGGUAAAUAUCUAGGAGUGGAAUUGCUGAGUCACAGGUUUACCUUUCGGAAGAACUGCCAGUCUGUCCUGAAGCAGCUGUGAUAUUGUGUUACCAUUGGCAGCCUAUGAGGAUUCCAGCUGCCCAGACACUGACUCUCACUGGUUAUUAUUUUGAUAGCAGUCAUCCUAUCUCAUAUGGGUUUGACACUAACAACUUUUCAUGAUCUUGUUGGUCAUUUGAAUAGAUUCGAUAAAAUUUUUUAUUAAACCUGUUCAUUCACUGAUACAUUGUUUGCAUAUGUGUAUGUGCGAGUGUGCCAUGGUGCACACAUGGAGAUAAAAUACAAGUGGUGGGUAAAGUUAACUCAGGUUGUAAGGCUUGGGGACAAGUGUGUGCACAUGGUUUACACACACACACACACACACACACACACACACACACACAUAUGCAGGCAAAAUACUCAUAAUGCAUAACAUAAAAAUAAGUUAAUGUAUAAUAAAUCUCAGAAAAGCUUGGCAGGAAGUUACUUGCUAAGGCAUCUCAAUGGCCCUUUCAUUCUUUUGUGCUAUAUUAUUAAGGUUUAGCUCUAUGGUGCAUUCUAGAAAAUGUUCCAUGUAUAUGUAAGACUGAGUAUUCUGUUUUCUAGUAGAGUAUCCAUCCAUCCAUCCAUCCAUUCCAUCCAUCCAUCCAUCCAUCCAUUCCAUCCAUCCAUCCAUCCAUCCAUUCCAUUCCAUUCCAUCCAUCCAUCCAUCCAUCCAUCCAUCCAUCCAUCCAUCCAUCCAUCUCUCCAUCCAUUUAUCUAUCCAUACAUAGACUUAUAUACUACCUAUUAGUAGGACAUUUAAUUCUUAAAUUAUUAUUUGUCUCUUUCUUCAUUCUUCUCUGUCCAUUAUUUUAUUAGGUUAUGUUGAGGCUCUACUGUCAGAUACCUACACAUGUUUUUGUUAUUUGUUUGUUUGUUUUUUAAUAUGGUCUUGUUAUAUAGCCCAUGUUGGCCUUGAAUUGUGGUGCUGGUGGCUCAGCCUCCACAGUACUUAGAUUACAUAUAUGGGUGAACUAGAAUUGUUUGACUUUUUCUAUUUUUGUGGUACCAAGGAUUGCACAUAGGGCCUCUUGCAUGCUAGACAAACUCUCUGCCACUGAGUGACACCCCUAGCACUCUUUUUCAUUUUCAAAUUGAAGACAGGCUGGCCUUAAACUCACAGUAUAGCCCAGAAUUUGCAAUCCUCCUGCCUCAGUUUCUUAAGUAGCUGGGAUAACAAGGCUUGCAUCACCUGGGUUAACUGGCUUUACCCUUUUACUAUCAUGAAAUGUUUGUUUAUAGUCCUAGGAAUACUUUUCUUAUAAAGUUUGUAUUUUUAUGUUGUGCAUUCAAUAUGUCCUUUUUUUUUUCUUUAGUAGUUGUUGCUUACAUAGUACAUCAAUUUUUUUGUCUGCCUUUUUCUUUCAACAUAUUUGUAUCUUUUGGGGGAAAUUGCCAGAUUGUCAGCAGUCUGACAAUAUUUGCCUUUGGGUUAGCUAGUUCACCCCCAUGUCAUUAUUAUUCAGUGCCUGCCCUUUUGUUUACUCGUGUGUCUGUGAGUGGGUGGGCGCAUAUGGGUGUCCAUGCAUGCAGAGGCUAGAGGCCAACCUCAGGUACUAUUUGCUAGGCACCAUCAACCUUGUUUUGUGAGCCACUGUCUUUCACUGGUCUGGAGCUUCCUGAGUAGGCAGGCAGGCUGUCUAAUGAGCCCCAGGGAUCCUCACAUCUUUACCUCCCUGCUAACAGAGAUGCCUGGUGUUUUUUUAAAUGUGUCCUGGGGAUCGACCUCAGGUCCUCCAGCCUGCAUGGCAGCGCUUAUCAGACUCAACUAUUUCUCCAGUCCUAUGGACUGCUUUCUGCAUUUUGAUUUGUUUUGUAUAUGCAAUCUGCCUUUUUUUGGGUUUUGAUUAUCUCUUAGGUAGUUACUAUAUGAUUUUAAGUUUAUUUUCAUAAUUUAAAGGUUAAGUUUGAGCUAACCUUCUAAGUGGCAUUUUUAGGGCUCACAGUAACAUUUGAAUUUACUAGAAUGAACUUUAGAUUUAUGCUGCCUUAGUUUCAGUGAGAUACAGGCGCUGUAUGUAACUUUGUUGUACCACCUCUUUUUGUAAUUAUUACUAUAUAUACCCACAUGUACAUACUUAUGUAAGUUCUAAACCCAACAAAAUAUUACUUCUUUAUUACUUUAUACGAUUUUAUGCUUUUUUAAAAGGCUGGAAGAAGAAAGGAGAUUGAAUUUGUGUUUUUAGGGUUCAUUAUACUAAUAUUCUUACUCUUUGCUUGGUUUUCAUUUCUUCCUCUGCAUUUGAGUUACCAUCUGGUAUCAUUUCCUUACUGAAAUGGGGCUUUGCUCUUAUUUCCUUCCUUUGUGCUAUAUGAUUAUUAAUUAUAUUCCAUUGCCCUGCUUAUAAUCCUAACAGUACAAUUGUUUUAUGCAAUUAAUUUUUAAAUAAGUCAAGAGAGGAAAGGGGAAGAAAUAUGCAAUUUGAUUAUCUUUUCAUAUUAAGCACAUGAUUACCUGUAGUAGUGUUCUAUGUUUUGCAUAUGGAAUCACAUUACUGCCUGGGGUUACCUGCUCGCAUUCUGAAGAACGUCAUUCAGUACUUUUAAAAAGAAGGUAUCCUAGCAAGGAAUUCUGUUUUCUUGUAAACUGGGACUGCCUUUAUCACUUUUACAUUUUCUUGUUGAAUUUUUUUCUUUUUCUUUUAAUCAAUGUAAAAAUUAUACAGUUUUUUUUGGGGGGUACAGUGCAAUAUUUCAAAACCACAAGUACAAUCCUGGAUUGAUAAGACUGAAUCUUAUCUAUUUAAUUUGUUUUAUAUUUGACACCUUCACCUUGCUUUUGUUACUUCUUUAUAAAACACACAGUAAAUUAUUGUUAAUUGUAAACACAUCAUAGUACUGUAGAACAUUGUGACUUAAUCUCAUCUGACUAGGUUCUGGGACCUAAACCUAACUUUCUUGCAUCCCCCAACCUUUUAUGCUUCCUACCCUCUAGUAAUUGUAUUCUCAGAAAAUAUUAAAUAUUUUAUUUUAAUUUUUAAAAAGUAUCUUAGAACAUACCAGGUUUGAUAUGAGAUUUUCAGACAUAUUUUAUCUUGGUUGAUUGUCUUCGUCCUUACUCCGGCUCAGCCCCUCAGCCCCCUCUCCUCGUUACACUUUUUCUCCUACUUGGUGACUGCUGGGAGGCAAAGGCUGACAAGGAGGAAGCAGAAGCAGCAGGGAGGGGUUCCGAACACCUAAGUGAGAACAUGUAAUAUUUGUCUUUAUGUGUCUAGCUCACUUCCCAUGUCUUCCAAGCCCACCCAUUUUACUGUAAAUAAUAGACUUAAAUUAUUUUCAUAGCUGAAUAAUAGUUUAUUAUGUAUAAUAUAAAAAUAUAUAUGGUGAAAGUAUCUCUGCUGUGUUGAUUUCAUUUUCUUUGGAUUUAUGUACAGAAAUGGGGAUUGAGAUCGUUAAUUUAACAGAUUUAUUUUUAUACUGAGAUUAUUUGUUAGAUUUUAUUUUUAGUUUUAUUUUGACUGUGAACGUCCAUAGUGUUUCCCAAUAAGGGUUGUGUUAAUUCACAUUUCUACUAUAAGCCAUGAGAAUUUUGUUUUCUCCAAAUCCUGAGUAGAAUUUGGUAUAUUUCUUUUUUGAUAUUAGCUAUUAUGACUGGGGUAAAGUGAUAUCUCAUUUAACAGUUGGUUUUAAAAUCAGGUGUGUGUGUGUGUGUGUGUGUGUGUGUGAAUGAAGGUAUGCCCACAAAGGCCAGAAGUGUUAGAUGCCCUAGAACUGGAGUUACAGGCAUUGUGAGCUACUUGACAUGACUGCUGGGAACUGAACAUGGGUCUUCUAACACAGGCUCCUAACUAGUGAAUCAUCUCUCCAGCAUACUUCAUUGUAGUUUUGAUUUACGUUUCUUUAACAGCAAAUGAUGCUGAAUAUUUUUCAUAUACUUCUUGGCCAUUGGUAGUUUUAUUUUAAGAAUAUUCUGAUAAUUUGCCUACUUUAAACUCGGAUCUUCCUGGUUUUCUAUUGUUGAGUUCCAUAAAUACCCUAGACAGCAAUCCUUGGUUGUAUGAACUAUUUUGCAGUUUCCCUCUGUCCUUUGCAGCACAGAAGCUUCUUAGUGUUAUAUAGUCUUAGUUGUCUUAGUUUUGCUUUCAUUGCUCGUGCUUUUGGGUGUUUCCCUGCCCCCAUUAUUUCCUUAUAUCAAUGUCCCUAAGUGUUUCCUUAUUUUUUCUAGUACUUUCUUCAGUUUCAGGUCUUACACUCUCUCUUUAAGCCAUAUUGGAUUCAUUUAUUUGUGUGUGUGUGUGUGGGGGGGGGGUGAGCAACAGGGGUCAACAUUCAGUUUUUUUGCAUAGGGAUAUUCAGUUUUUAUAGUAGUGUUUACUGAAGGGUUAUCAUUUCUCCAGUGCUAUUUUGAUGCCUUUGUCAAGAUCCAGCAGUCUACAGGCAUAUGGGUUUUUCUUGGACUUCCGGUCUGUUGUACUGUCUUAUCUGUUAUAGUUUUAUGCUUCUCAUAUAUUGUCUUGGCUACUACAGCCUUAAGGUGUAUCUUGAGAUCAUGCCUUCAGCUUUGUUUGUACUCCAAGUUGCUCUGGCUGCUAAGGUUCUUUGUAUUUCUAUAUGAACUUUAGGGUUUUUUUUGGGGGGGCAGUGGGUAUUUCUGUAAAGAAUGCUACAAGUGUUCUUUCUGAUGGGAAAUAAUACCCUGAAUCUGUGAACUGUUUUGGCAUUACAUUUUUAUUCUAUUGUAAUUAUUUUGGUUGUAUGUGUGUGGGCAUAGCAUUCAGUGGGCACAUAAGUGGAGGUCAGGGUACAACUUGCAGGAGCCAGUUCUCUCUACCAUAUGGAUUCCAAGUAGUGAACUUAGGUUGUCAGGCUUGGUGGCAAGUGCCUUUCCCCACUGAGCCAUCUCACUUGCCUAAGGGCAUUUUUAAUAGCUCAGAUUCUUUUAAUCCAUGAGCAGCGAAGUUUUUCAUUUUUCAAAUGUCUUCUUCAUUCACUUUGUCUUUUUAAUCAGUAUUUGUAAUAUAAUCUAGAGGUCUUUUAUUUUCUUGGUGAAACUUAUUCAUAGGUAUUUUAUUUUUUUUGUUACUAUUAUGAAUGGGAUAGCGGUAAUGAUUUCUUUCUUAGCAAGUUUAUUAUUGGUGAGCAAAAAUGCUACUUCUUUUCUAUAUUGAUUUUUGUAUAGUUAUUAAGAUUACCAAGUUUAUUGGUUAGUUUUGAAGAUCUUUUGUGGAAUCUUUAGGUUUUCCUGUAUAUGGGAUCAUGUCAUCUGAAAACAGAUUUUUUUUUCAAGAUAUGGUUUCUCUGUGUGGUCCUUGAUGUCCUGGAAGAGCAGAGUAGCCUGCAUCUCAGAGGUUCAUCAGCCUGUCUUUGCCUCCCCAGUGCUGGGAUUAAAGGCAUUUGCCAUCACAUCUGGCUUGAAAGAAAAAAAUUUCUUGUCUAUCUUUUUUUCUUGUGUAACUGAUAUGGCUAAUGCUCCCUUUUAUUUUAUAAAGAUAUUUUUCUAGAUAGUUCUCGGUGCCUUUUAAAUUUUAAAAUAUUUACUUUAUGUGUAUUUAUGUGGACACCUGAGUAAGUGUGUGUGUUUGUGUACCACAUGCAUGCAGAAGCCCUUAGAAGUUAGAAAAGGGUGUCAGAUCCAUCCAUGGAACUGGAGUUAUAGGAGGUCAUGGACCACCAUGUAAAUUCUGGGCACAGAACCCAGAUCCUCUCCAACAGCAGCAUGCAAUCUUAAGUGGUAAGCCAUCUCACAAGCCCCUGGUGUGUUAAGAUAAAAACUUAAAAAAAAAAAAAGCCUGUAUUGUGUCUGAUGAGAAGUCAACUGUUAAUGUUCUCGGGGUUCCCUUAUAUGUGAUGGGUCUCUAGUCCCUUCUUGUUUUUGAGGUUGUCUUUUGCUUUUCAGCAUCUUACUACAUGUCUCCCGGGUAUGGCCUUUGUUUACCUUACUUGGAAUUAACUGAACCUGAGCAUGUAGAUAAAUAUCUUUACCCAAUGUGAAAGGGCUUCGGCAAUUAUUUCUUUGACUAUCUUUCUCUGUCCUUCUUCCGUUUUUUUCCAGUACUCUACUUACGCACACUGAUGUGCUCAAUUUUACCCCACGUUUCUUUGAGCCUGUUUAUCUUCAUUCUUUUCACUGUCUUCAGAUUGCAUAAUCACUAGUCAUACAUCUUCACAUUGGCUGAUUUAUUCUCCUGCCAAGUCUAAUCUACUAUCAACCCCUAUCUAGCCAAUUUUGCAUUUUAAUUAUUGAACUUCUCCCUAAAGAGUAUCUAUUUGGAGGUAGGUGGCACACACUACCCACCAUCACAGUCCUUAGGAAGACUGCUGCCUAGGCUUUUCCAGACCAUCCUAGGCUACAUACCAAGAUCCUGUUCCCUUCCUGAAAGAAAGGGAGAAAGGAAGGAAGGAAGGAAGGAAGGAAGGAAGGAAGGAAGGAAGGAAGGAAGGAAGGGAGGGGGGAAUGACAGAACAAAUGCAACAUAUGUAGUUCCUUUCUUCUUUACAGUUUCUAUUGCCAUCCUAUCUUCCACAAUGCCUAUUUUUUCUACAAUAGGUCUUGUCAUGUAAUGCAGGCUAACCUUAAACUCACGAUCCUCCUGCCCAGCUCUACUGAAUGCAGGGAUUACAUGUAUGUAACCUCAUAUCUGUGAGAGAACCCUGUCUCUUGCCUUAAUUCCUUAAGUAUUUCUACCUUUGAGUGCGUUUAUAGUAAUUGCUAUGAAAUAUUUGUUCAGUUCACUCUCUGAGCUCCUAUAAGAAUGCCCCCUUCCCUUUAUUUAGUAUGUCAUGUUUUUUUUUGUUGUUGUUGUUGAAACUUGGAGAUUUAAAAUACUGUACUGGAACUGCGGUUAGUGCUUUUACCCACCUUGCACCAGAGACCUAGCCGCUGUUAACUAUGCAGUCACUUGGUUGUUUACUGAUCUGAAUGAAUUUCUUCUGAGAAGUCUAUCCGCCCUGCAGUGUGUAAAGCCACUGAUGAACUUGCUGAGGUCUGCCCUCUUGUUUAUUCUUCUUUUAACUCUUGGGUUGCACAAGCCACUUACAAAGGCUGUGUUAAGCCACCGAAGCCAGAGUUUUAUGUUUUAGCACUGAUGGUUCUGCCUUGGUGUUUCCCAUCACAGUUCAGGAGUUUAUAUUUUUUGCUCCCUAUUCAUCCAGAAAUUAGGAGUUUGGCAGUUUUCUCUUUGAUAGCUUUGGAGAACAAAAAGCCUUUGGGGCUUGUGUGUAGUCCUCCAGACUAUCAGGGGUAAGCUUGAUUUUUAUUUUAAGCUUGGUUUCCCUGGAGUCCCCUUGGGCUAGAGCAGGUUAUUAUUCAGUCAAUGUUUAGCCAGAACUGCAUCAUCAAACCUCUUGUGCCCAUGAUUUAUUUCCCCUGUGUUGAUAGGUCAGUGUGCAGUUCAGGGAAUGCUCCAGUCUGCCCUAAGGCCUGAGCUGAUUGCUGUUGAGUGGGUGUAGCCUAACAUCUAAACUCCUAGAGUUUACUGAUACUAGGGGCCCUCUUUGUUGUCUGUCUCCUGGUUUUCGCUACAAAAAUGGCUGUUUUAUUUGCAUCAUUGAACUAUCAGUUUUCGUCCUCUUAAAUUUUCUUUACCAAACUUUCCUUUAAAAAAAAAUACGACCCUUAGACACAGAAUGCCCUAGUCCUCAUUCCAAAUGUUCAGGCCCUCAAACACAUCUAGUGGUUCAUUGUCUUUAUGGCCAUCCUAGGUCCUGUGGGCAGAACUUCCAUGCUACUGCUCAGAGUUAGGGAUAACAACUUUUUUUCCAUCAGUGACAUCCUAUAUCCACAUGAGUGCUGAAGGGUAUCAGCUCCUGCCUGGUCUUCUUGGUAUGCUCUUCCUUGUGUGCAAUCUCUGCCUGUGAGUGAGCUGGGGUUAGAAUAGUCAGGGCCUUUACAUUGUCAAUCUGCCAUGCCUAAGAGCAGAGCUUGUGUCCUUUAUGGGGAAUGUGGGUGGAGGGAGAGAGACUCAGUCCUCUUGAUCACAUGACUUCUUGUCACAUAGCUUCUGCAAAGAUUGGGGAAGAUGAGAGAUGGCAGCUUACCUGCAGCUCUUUGAGUAAAUCAGAUGUAGUCUGGGAACUGAGUUGGGGGGGGGUCUGUCUCUUGGCUCUUCUUGCUCAGAACAGUAUAUAUAGGGUGGGACUUUUGGAAUGUAGAGCAGGGCGUGGGGGUUAUGAGGGAAUGGGUCAUAGCUCAGGUAUCUCAGACUAUCAUUGUCCCUUCUGAGAGUGGAAUUACUGGCUUGCCAAUUGCUAUAUGCCUUUGGAACAAUUUCUGGAGACUUUAAAUGAUUGGGCUGUUUAUUUAUUUAUCUUUUUUUUGAAGAAUAUUACAAAUGUGUUUAUUUUUAUGUUUUUUCAUCUUUAUUUUAUUUUAUUUUUUUCCUAAUUUUUUAUUAGGUAUUUUCUUCAUUUACAUUUCAAAUGCUAUCCCGAAAGUCCCCCAUACCUCCCUUCCCGCUCUCCUACCCACCCACUCCCACUUCUUGGCCCUGGUAUUCCCCUAUACUGAGGCAUAUAAAGUUUGCAAGACCAAGGGGCCUCUCUUUCCAAUGAUGGCCGACUAGGCCAUCUUCUGCUACAUAUGCAGCUAGAGACACAGCUCUGGGGGGUACUGGUUAGUUCAUAUUGUUAUUCCACCUAUAGAGUUGCAGACCCCUUUAGCUCCUUGGGUACUUUCUCUAGCUUCUCCAUUGGGGGCCCUGUGAUCCACCUAAUAGCUGACUGUGAGCAUCCACUUCUGUGUUUGCUAAGUCCUGGCAUAACCUCACAAGAGACAGCUAUAUAAGGGUCCUUUCAGCAAAAUCUUGCUAGUGUGUGCAAUGGUGUCAGCGUUUGGAGGGUGAUUAUGGGAUGGAUCCCUGGGUAUGGCAGUCUCUAGAUGGUCUAUCCUUUUGUCUCAGCUCCAAACUUUGUCUCUGUAACUCCUUCCAUGGGUGUUUUGUUCCCAACUCUAAGAAGGGUCAAAGUGUCCACACUUUGGUCUUCAUUCUUCUUGAGUUUCAUGCGUUUAGCAAAUUGUAUCUUAUAUCUUGGGUAUCCUAAAUUUCUGGGCUAAUAUCCACUUAUCAGUGAGUACAUAUUGUGUGAGUUCCUUUGUGAUUGGGUUACCUCACUCAGGAUGAUGCCCUUCAGGUCCAUCCAUUUGCCUAGGAAUUUCAUAAAUUCAUUCUUUUUAAUAGCUGAGUAGUACUCCAUUGUGUAAAUGUACCACAUUUUCUGUAUCCGUUCCUCUGUUGAGGGGCAUCUGGGUUCUUUCCAGCUUCUGGCUAUUAUAAAUAAGGCCGCUAUGAACAUAGUGGAGCAUGUGUCCUUCUUAGCGGUUGGGACAUCUUCUGGGUAUAUGCCCAGGGUAUUUAUCUAUUUACUUACUUGUUUAAUCUCUGUUGUUUUUAGCAGUUAUUACCAGUUGUAUUGCUCUUUGAGUGGUUCUUCAGAGGUCUUAACUCUUCCAUUCUGAAAGUAUUUCUCACAGACUAGGAAACAGCUCCCCACCACCGCUUCUUUUCAUUUUUAGUCUUCAUUGUCUCCAAAGAAAUCCCAAAUCAUAGUUAUAAUCCAGGAUCCUGACUCUCAAUAUGAGUAACUUAGGUCUUACUCGUCUGCACUGUUUAUUUUUCAGACAUAUAGACACCAUCCAAAACAUUUCUUGUAUCUUCUUAACUGUUGUGGCUUGAUGAAUCUGAACCAAGUUCAGUAUCAUUUCCUUCAAGAAUUACCUCAUCCUUUGGUACUUGAGAAACAGAACAAGCAAUACCUGUCCUCAUCUGACCCCCACAGAUGUAAUAUUUUUUCUUUUUUAUUUAUUCCCUAAAGUGUUAUUUAUUUCUUAAAAUUAAUUUUUAUAUUUGUUGAAUUUCUGGGCAUAUAUAUUCUGCCUGCAUGUAUGUAUGUACACCACAUGUGUGCCUGGUGCCCUCGAGUAUCAGAAGAUGUUAAGCCUCCUGGAACUGGAGUUAUGGAUGACAGUAAGCCACCAUGUGGGUGCUGGGAGUUGAAUCUGGAUCCUCUGGAAGAGCAGUAAGUACUCUGAGUCAUUUAUCCAGCCCUCCAAUAAUUUUUCAGCCAAGAAAAUUUGGAUUUCAACCAGAAACCCAUUCUCCUGAAUAGUGAUGUUGAUGGGGUAAGUGAGCACACUUUGUUUCUUUAUAACAAAGCCCUGCAUAACAUCCUUGAACACGUUCUGAACAUGACUGCAGACAGGUCAUACAGGAGCCAGUUUUGUUCUGUUUCCCCAUUAUUUGUCAACCAAUGGCCUCUUCUUUUUCUUUCCAAGGAAAGUCAGAUCUCUACUCAUAUGACUGAAGUCCCUCUGGAAGGACUCUCUGGGCUCUUCAGAAUAAGUGUCCCUCCUUUUAGAGUUUUGUCAACAUUUGUUGCCCAGCCACGGCUCUGAAGGCUUGCACUUUUGCUCUUCCAAUGUCUCCUCUAAAACGGAAGCCCGGCAUGCACACUUCUGUAGGAAAACAACAGACUGGCUUUUGGUGAUCGCAGAAAGGCAUGUGAAGAUACUUUGACUACUCAUGCAAAGGGGAAGGCAGCCUUCUAGUUUGUAACUGGUUUCUUGAAUGGGAAGACCCACCAUCCACAAAGGCCUUAUGCAGACCCUUGCCAGAUGAUGGAAUCAUGCUGUUGGACUCCUCAACCUUCAAUACUGAUUUUUGAGAGGCUGGACUAAAGAAUGCCUCAAGAACUGCAAAGUGAUGCCCACUGUCUGACCCCUAGGACAUGCUCUGCCAAGGUUCGCCUUUCUGCCAUGUAUUCUUCACACUAAAAUCCCAAGUUCUAUUACUGAAAGAAGAGAACAGAUAAGCCAAGAAAUGUGGCAGCUUUGGGCUUCAAUUGUGGCUGAUCUUUGGCAAGUAACUUUUUUUUUUUGUCAGUAAAAGAGGGAUAAUGCCUACCUACCAGGGUUGCUAUGAGACAUGCAUGAAUAUAUGUGAAAGACCUAGCAUAUACAGAAAUAAUGGGUGUUUAAAGAAUGUCAAAGUGGCUAAGGCAGUAAAAGCCAUUCUAGAGCAAGCCUUGUGACUGUAGUUUGAUCCCUGGAACUACUGAAGGUAGAAGGAAAGAAUCAGUCCCACAGAGUUGUCCUUUUACUACUACAGGCAUGCUAUAGCACACACCCUCCAAUUCACACACACACACACACACACACACACAGAGAGAGAGAGAGAGAGAGAAACUUAAAAACUUAAUGUUAAACACUUUUUCAUCGACAUUUUGUAAAUCCUACCUAUAUAAAGUAUUUCAGUAAUAGAAUAACUCCCUGCAUACUUGAUAAAAUGUAAAAUUCAAAUAUUCAUGUUGUAGCAUUUGUCUUUCUUUAUAGCUAUCUUUAUUUAUAUAAGGGGAUAAUAUUUCAUUUAGAUAUGGUUUUAAUGUUUUAGUCCACGAGCUAUCAGUUUAAACUACUGAGGGAGUUUGGCUGACUUCCUUUUUUUUUAAUUGGGUAUUUAUUUCAUUUACAUUUCCAAUGCUAUCCCAAAGUCCCCCACAUGCUCUCCUCCCACUCCCCUACCCACCCACUCCCACUUCUUGGCCCUGUCGUUCCCCUGUACUGAGGCAAAUAAAGUUUGCAUGACUAAUGGGCCUCUCUUUCCACUGAUGGCCAACUAGGCCAUUUUCUGAUUCAUAUGCAGCUAGAGAUACGACUCCAGGGGGGUACUGGUUAGUUCAUAUUGUUGUUCCACCUAUAGGAUUGCAGAUCCCUUUAGCUCCUUGGGUACUUUCUCUAGCUCCUCCAUUGGGGGCCCUGUGAUCCAUCCAAUAGCCUCCACUUCUGUGUUUGCUAGGCCCCGGCAUAGCCUCACAAGAGACAGCUCUAUCUGGGUCCUUUCAGCAAAAUCUUGCUAGUGUAUGCAAUGGUGUCAGCGUUUGGAAGCUGAUUAUGGGAUGGAUCCCUGGAUAUGGCAGUCUCUAGAUGGUCCAUCCUUUUGUCACAGCUCCAAACUUUGUCUCUGUAAUUCCUCCCAUGGGUGUUUUGUUUCCAAUUCUAAGAAGGGGCAAAGUGUCCACACUUUGGUCUUCGUUCUUCUUGAGUUUCAUGCAUUUAACAAAUUGUAUCUUAUAUCUUGGAUAUCCUAAGUUUCUGGGCUAAUAUCCACUUAUCAGUGAGUACAUAUUGUGUGAGUUCUUUUGUGAUUGGGUUACCUCACUCAGGAUGAUGCCGUCCAGGUCCAUCCAUCUGCCUAGGAAUUUCAUAAAUUCAUUCUUUUUAAUAGCUGAGUAGUACUCCAUUGUGUAGAUGUACCACAUUUUCUGUAUCCAUUCCUCUGUUGAGGGGCAUCUGGGUUCUUUCCAGCUUAUGGCUAUUAUAAAUAAGGCUUCUAUGUCCUUCUUACUGGUUGGAACAUCUUCUGUAUAUAUGCCCAGGAGAGGUAUUGCGGGAUCCUCCGGUAGUACUAUGUCCAAUUUUCUGAGGAACCGCCAGACUGAUUUCCAGAGUGGUUGUACAAGCCUGCAAUCCCACCAACAAUGGAGGAGUGUUCCUCUUUCUCCACAUCCACGCCAGCAUCUGCUGUCACCUGAAUUUUUGAGCUUAGCCAUUCUGACUGGUGUGAGGUGGAAUCUCAGGGUUGUUUUGAUUUGCAUUUCCCUGAUGAUUAAGGAUGUUGACCAUUUUUGGCUGAAUUCCUAAAGCGUCUGGUAUAGCACCAUGUUCCGUUUCUCAAUUAGGCACUCAUUGGGUACCCAAGAAGCAGUAUUGAGGCACAAGAUGCAACAGGUACUUGGUUGAAAAGAAUUUUACUAAUGCAUUUUUUUUGUUUCUUUGCUUGUUUACAGACAAGGCCUCACUCAUGUAGCUUAGAGCAACCCAGAGUUCUCGGUAUAAGCCCAGGUUAGCCAUAAACUCACAGUCUGUUUGCUAAUCUCCUAAGUGCUGACAGUGCUUGGUGUAGUGAGUGACUGAGCCCAAGCAGAAAGUUGCCAUCUAGUACAGUACAGAGCUCAGUGUUGCCAUAGUUGUUACAUAUAUAUAUAUAUACAUAUAUAUAUAUAUAUAUAUAUACACACACACACACACACACACACACACACACAUAUAUAUAUAUAUAUAUGUGAAUGAUGAGGUUGAACACUUAGAUAAUCAGGACAUUGUCAAUCUCAGUGAAAAUGGCAACACCAAGGUAAUGAACAUGACACAAUUAUUUCAUAAACAUAUUCCAGUUAGCAUUGAUAAAUACACUAGAAACAAAGCAAAAAUAGAGAAAAUUUAGUAAUAAAAGAAAGUAAUAAAUGUAUGGACAGUUUAGAACUGAAAAUACAAUAACCUAAAUAAACAUACUAGGUAAACCAAAUACGGUAAUUGGGAUGAAAAAGAAAAAAAAUUGUGAACUUGAAAGCAAAAUAGUAUGCAGUCUGAACAACAGAGAAAAUAAACUGGGGGGAAGUUUCAGUUUAGUGGGACAGGACCAUUAGAGUCCCACAGAGAAAGAAGGGAAUAGUAUAAAAACAUAAUAUUGGGUGGUGGUGGUGCAUACCUUUAGCCCCAGCACUUAGAAGGCAGAAGCAGGUGGAUCUGAGGCCAGCCUGGUCUACAGAGAAUCCUAGGACAGCCAGGGCUACGCAGAGAGAUCCAGUCUCCAAAGACAACAAAACAAAACAACAACAAGAACCAUAUAAUGGAAAACAUUUUGAAAGCAGUUAGAGAAAAACCACACGCUACUCUUAUAGGAAUAAUAGCUUGAGUGACGGGAUUUUUCAUCGAAAGCUAUAGAUACAAGAAGAGAGAGGUUGAUUUUUUAAGAAAUAAGACUGCCAACACAAAAAAUCCAAAACAACAUGAAGGCAGGAGGGAGAAACAAAACAAAACAAUAACAACAAAAACAAACUAAAAUGGCAGAGUUAAGCCCUGAUGUGUCAACAGCUACACUAUAAUAAUAAUAAUAAUAAUAAUAAUAAUUCCUAUUGUACUGUUUUCUGAUUUGUGUUUAUUUGUCUUGAAACAUUAACUUUUUGAAUAAAAAUAAUGUAUAAAAUAGUCUACAAAACAGCAGUCAAGCAUACCAGGUAUUAUAGCACAUGCCUUUAAUUCUAGCAGAGGCAGGCAGCUCUCUUGAGUUUGAUGCCAGCCUGGUCUACAAAAUGAGUUUCAGGACAACCAGAACUACAUAGAGAAACUCUGUCAAAAAAAAAAAAAAACAACAAAAAACAACCAAAGAAAAAUGUGUGUGUGCGCGCCCAUGUACAGCAACAACAAGCAACUGGGGACUUACAGUUCUAUAUCAAACAAAUUUCCGGCUAGAAAGGUGGCUCAGUGCAUAAAUAUGCUUGUCAUGUAAGCCUGGUGACAUAAAUUCUAUCUCUGGAACUCAUACAACAGUGAAAGGAGAGAACCAACUCCACAAAGUUGUCCUACACACACACACAUAUAAAAUUAAAAAAAUUCAUCCCCACAACUCUAAAGAAAUGUUCCAAAUGUUUAAACUAAAGAAUAAAGAUUGGCAGUUACCAUGGCCCAAUUAUAUUCAGAAAUAAAACAACUCAGUUAAAAUAUAAUGACAUCUCAGUCUGAGGCCACUGAUUCUAUUCCUACCCCCACCCCACUCCCCAAAAUGUUUAAAUAUAAUGACAUAGGAAGAUUCAAGUAAAACAGCACAUUUACUCCCCUGUAAUCCUAUCCUGUGUAUAGACUGGUUUAACCAUCAUCACAGAAUAUAGAAUCCAUCCAUUCCCGCAGAAGUCUUUGCUGUACUGUUUACCACAGGUGACACAUUCUCUGCUAUCGUUUCAUCUCUCAUCCAUGAAAAUCAUCUUCAUUUCUAUGAUCUUUUUUACUAUUUAGACAUGAUAUAAAUAGAACUGGGCAGUAUAUAACAUUCUUAUUUUAUCAUAUUUAAUUAGUAUAUAAAUUAGUGGGUUUUAGUGUGACAUUUCUACACAUAUAGAUCAUUAUCCUUUGUUUUCAGUGUCCUUGCUGCCAUGCGCCCUUCUGCUCGUCUCUUCCUCCUCCAAGUAGCCCCUCCUUCUGUUUUCAUAUCAGAUAUAUUCCAUUAAAAUAUCUUUUAUUUUCUUUUCCCCACUCCCUUUAGACCUCGCUCUCCUCUACAGUUCCCUUUUCCCAUGUCCUACAUAUAUGCAUAUACAUGCAUAUACACAUAUGCACAUUCACACAAAUUUACAUUAUGCAAGAGAGAAAAAUGUAUAUAUAUUAUAAAUAUAAUGCAUAUUUGAGUUUGGCUUAUUUCAUUUAACAUAAAGGUUACCAGUUCCAUUCUCUUUUCUGCCAGUAUUAUCAUUUCAUUCUCUUUUACAGCUGAAUACAAUUUUUUAUGUACAUAUGCCACAUUUUCUAUAGUCAUCUAUCAAUGGAAAUAUUAGCUAUUGUGAACAGACCAGCUAUGAACAUGGGUGUACAAGUAUCAUUGUGGCAUGUUGAUCUGGGGUCCUUUGCUAUGAACAUGGGUGUACAAGUAUCAUUGUGGCAUGUUGAUCUGGGGUCCUUUGCUUUACAUAUAGGGGUGGUCUAUCUAUCUAGGCCCAAUAGUAGUUGCAUUUCUGAUUUUUAAAAGGAACCUCUAUACUGACUUCUGUAUUGACUGCAGCAUUUAACCAUUCCCAUCACUCACAUUCUAACCAGCACUUCUUCUUACUGGUUUUCUUAAGGGAGAGCCAUUCUGCAUGGAGUGAGAUGGAAUCGUGAAAUGUUUCAAUUUGCAUUUUCCUGCUGGCUAAAGACAUUAAACAAUUUCAAAAACCAUAUUAGACAUUUGCAAUUUUUUGGUGUAUAUGUAGAGAUUCAUGUGUUGGGGUGUGGAGUGUAGCCCAGGGGUCAACCUUGGGUAUCUUUCCUUUGUAGCUCUCAUUCUGUAUUUCUGAGACAGCCUCACUGGGCCUUGGACUCAUUGAUUUGGUUAGGAUGGCUUGUGAGUGAGCCCCAGUGGUCUGCAGUGCUGGAAGUACACACAUAUGCCAUAAUACUUGGCUUUUUAUGUGGGCACUGAGGAUAAAACCUGGGUCCCCGAGUUUACAUGGCAAGUCCUUUAUCAACUGAGCUAUCUCUCUAGUUCUGCACUUCUUUUGAGACAACACAUUUAUUGGCUGGAUUAUUUGUGGUUGCUUUUCUAAGUUUAAAUUUUAGAGCUCACUAUAGAGUGUAGCUAUUAAGUCCCUGUCGGGUGUGUAAUUGGGGAAGGUUUUUCUCUCACCUCACAGACUGUCUUUUCACUCUGGUGAUUAUUAUUUUAUUAUGUAGAAGCUUCAUGAUUUCAUAUAAAAUUUCAUAUAAUCCUAUUAGUCAAUUUUGGGGCUCUUUCUUGUGCUAUUGGAGUCCUUUGGUUAAAUUCUUGCCUAUGCCAAUAAUUUGAAAUGUUUUACCUUUGUUUUCCUCUGGUAGUUUAAGAGUUUCAGGUUUAUCAAUAAGGUUUUUGGCUCAUUUCUAAUUGAUUUUUAUAUAAGAUGAGAGAUGUGGAUCUAAUUUCCUUCUUCUACAUGUAGAUAUCGAGUUUUCCAAAUACUACUUAUUAAAGAGGCUUUUUCUUUUCUCCCCCCACCCCAGUGCAUGUUUUUUGACAGUUUGCCAAAGAUUAGGUGGCUGUAGUUGUGUGAGGUUAUUUUGGGGUCCUCAAUUUUAUUCUGUUGCUCUAGGUUUCUGCUUUUGUGCUAAUGCCACGCUGCACUUGUUAGUAAAGCUCUGUAGUACAAUUUAAGGCCAGAUCUCCUGAGAGUAGCUAUUUUUGAUCAGUGUAACUCCGUUUAGGCCCAUCCAAGUUAUUCCACACAUCAAUAGUUCAUUGGGUUUUAUUGCUGAAUAGUAUUCCAUAGCAUAGAUGGAUCAUACUCUUUUUAACCAUUUAUAAAUUACAAGACUUUUGGGUUACUUCCAAUUUGGGCUAUUAAAGUUACACAUUUAUUUAUAGUUUAUGUGGAUGUAGGUUUUCAUUUCUCUGGGAACAAUGCCCAGGAAUGUAAUUGCUAGAUUAUAUGGUAAAAAAAUUGUUGUGUUUUUAAAGGAAUAGACAUUAACACAUCCUUUGAUUACUGUUUACAUAUAUUUUUUAGAUGUUAAUUUAAAAUGUUAAUUGACAGAUAAUAGCAGUAUAUAUUUACAGACACAGUAGUAUUACAAUCUGAUACAUGUACACAAUGUGUAAUGAUAAAAUCAGGGUAAUUAGCAUUUCUGGCUCCUUCAACAUUCAUCAUUUCUUUGUAGUGAGAGCAUUCCAAUUCCUCUCUUGUGGUUCUUUAUAAAUAUAUAAUAAAUUGUUGUGAACUGAAGUCACCCUACUGUGCUGUUGUUGGCUGAACAAAGGAAGAUGAAAAGCCUUGCUUUUUCAAACCAGUGCUGCAACAUCUCUUUUUAUAGAACCUGAAAAUGAUAAAGCUGAAGCAUCAGUGAGGGGUCUGACUCAUGGAAGGAAGGGAGUCACGUCAAAGAAAUUGAGUGAAAUUAUAAGUAAGAAAUGGAAAUAUGAUAAAAGUUAUUUUGUUACUAAUUUACCAUCUGUGUCAUAUGAAACAUAUUUCUGAACAUAUAAUACAUCAUUUAAGUUAGAGCAUUUUCAGACCAUUAAUAAAGUAAGAUGAAUACACACACACACACACACACACACACACACACACACACACACAUACACACACACACAUAUAUAUAUAUACACACAUAUAUGAAACAGAGUUUAAUUCAUUGGUUCAGGAUGGCUUAGCCCAGGCUGAACCUGAACUUGAAGCAAUCAUCUUGCCCCAACUUUGUGUGUGCUUAGAUUCUACAUGUAAGCUACCAUGCCUGGUUAGAAGCUGAAUAUUUUAAGUACGGAUAUUAUAAACUCAUUAAAGCUGGGCAUGGUAGCUCAUGAGACAAAGGCAGGAGGGUCUGUGUCAGAUCCAAGGUCAUCCUGGUCUACAUAGCAAGUUUCAGACCAAUCGGGGCUAUGUAGUACAACUCUGACUUAAUAGAAAAAAAAAAACCCAAUAACUAAUUAAAUAAAUAACCACUAAAAAUUGUUUGUUAGCAUUUUUUGAACUAGAACUGAAAAAGCCAUUGAAGCAUCUUAUAGACACGCCAUGGAGAACUGCAGGCUUAGAGGACAACAGAGCCUUGAACAGUUGACAGUGUUCAUUGUCCACUGGAAGAGAAGUUAGUGAAAAUACUCAAGGCACUGUCUUUUCUCCGUGACUCAGUAGCUUAAUGAUCGAAACAUUUAACUACAAACAUGGAUACUUCACUAGCUACCCAUUUUCUGAACUGUGCCCUCACCAACAGACCUAUGUCAGUGCGGCCUGAGCUGAUGUUUUGCUUAUAUCACAUGGCAUCAGUAGUAAAUAAUCCUAACAGAAGGCUUCUUUUAUGUGAAUGAUUAGGCACAAACAGAAGUGGUGCUACUCUAUUUAAAGUGCUGAAUAACUUGUUUGAAGCUCAUGGCUUAUGUUGGAACACUGUUGUUUAUACUCGAAUGGCACUUCAAAAGCAACGGUGAGGAAAACUGUUGGCACCCAUGUAUGGAUUCAGGCAGUAGCAUCAAGCAUAGCACUGGGGACUCUGUUCUUUACUGUCACAAACUCCUAAAAAUUCCAACUUUGCUUGAGAAUGUCUUUGCUGAAGCAGUAAAAUUGAUAAGUUGUUAAAACUUGCUGCUGGAUUUGGUGCUCAUAGGAAGUAUGAUGAGGUGCUUUUGGUAUAGACUGUCAUGCAAUGGCUUGGCUGUGAUUAAGCUGUGAGCACUGACUAGCUAGUUUUCAUGGAAUACUACAUGUGCUCAAAAGGACAACUGACAGAUUAUGAUGAUUCAACAUUAUGAUUAAAUAUUUGGAAUCUGGCAAAUGUUUUGUCAAAAAUGAAGUGAGCCUAUGAUUUUUUUGGUAAACAACUGAUGUGUUUGUUGUCAAUGAUAGCAAAUUUGUGGUUAUAAGCAAAACUAUGAUUUCUGAAAACUUGAUUCUGGCAUUGUGAGCUUGACAGCAUUUCAAAACUUAAGUUUCCCCCAGUGAAUACAGUGAUGAUAUCAAUGUUUUUAUGCUGAAUAAAAUGUAUGAACAUUUUGAAUGCUUUCCUAACCCAGUGAACUGGUAUUUUCCAAAUACUAUGUGAAGGGGGGGGGUGUCAAAUAUCCAUUUCAAAAUACAAAUUUAACCUAAUUGUAUGUAAAAAUUCCCUGAGAUGCUUUCAGGCCCCAUGCUGCAUUUACAUUAAAGACAUUACCAUUUGUAGAGUUUUGUUUUGGUGUAGUCUCAAGGAAUGCAUAUAAUGAUCAGAAAAGGUUAUUAAAAACAUUCCUUCCCUUUCUAGCCAACAUCGCACCCUUUUCAUACCUGUGAAGUUCUGCUUUUGUCAUAUACUUGAAGUCAAACCAUGUCAACAUACUUUGAAUGAAGAAGCAGUGGGUUACUGAUUGACUCGUUUGGAGCAUGGAUGGAGCAUCUCUACCCUAUAUGGACAUAUGGCCUCCUGCCAGGACCGAGAUACCAGAAGUUUUGUCAUACAAAAUGCAUAGAAGUAAACAAUAUUUUAUAAAACUAGUCUAAAAAUUUGGUACAUGAAAAGGAUGGACUUCACCAGGAAGAGCUCUAUAAAAUGACAGGUGACCCCACCCACCUUCUACAGCAGGAAGAGCUAAAUGAACUCAGAGAGUUUCCAUGUUCAAACCUAAAUCAAAAAUUCCAUAUCUAGGAGGUAAAUUCUUGUUUUCUGUCUAUAAAACUACAAAUUAAAUCUUGAAAAUUAAGAGAUUAUUUUCUGCCCAAAUCUCAGCUGCACAUUCACACCCACAAUAGCUUGUUUAUUGGAGAGGUCAUGUGAUUGAUUUGGAUGAAGCUAAAUGGUUUAUUUUUUAAAAUGACUUCUGCAAUGUCCUACAAUCAAGGUUUCCAAGAACUCUUAGGGAUGGUACCUUGUCACUGUAUGUAACAGUUUUCACACUUCCAUGAGAUACUUUACAGACAACAUAGUCACUGGCUAGGGAGAGACACAAGUUUAAAGUCUGGUUUCCAUGUUUGGUUGAUGUACCUGGGAGGCCUGCUCUUUACUGAGGUGAAGCAGAGGGAGGGGUGGAUCUAGGGGAGAGAGGAAGUAGGGAGGAGACUGGGGGAGGGGAAGGAGGGGAAACUACAAUUGGGAUGCAAUAUAUGAGAAUUUAAAAAAAUCAAAAAACAAAAAACAAAGUUUGGUUUCAUCCCUUUCUGGAUGUCUGACCACUUUUAUAGCAUGUAGGCUGUGACAAAGUUGAAGUGACACAAUGCAUACUUUUAGUAGAUGCAGUGCUACUCCUGUCCCAGUUAAUAAGUACACCCUAGAAACCAAGCUGCGGCUUACAGCGUUUUGCUUUAUUUCCUGUCGCAGUGCCUAGUGUAGUGUCUGUUAUACAGUAGAUGAUACAUUUUUGUAGAAUGAAUGAAUAAAAUAGUUUUUUUCCCAUUUAAACAUGCACACAUACCCAGAAUAGAAAUCCAUGUCAGAUGUUUAGCACAGCACCUGGGCACACAGGAAGCUCCUCCCCUCACCCUCCUCCUCCAUGUUAACUAAUGUUUCAGAAACUAUAAAAAGUGCGGAUCCACCGAGUUCUUUGGCAGGAAGGUCAGAGUGUCUUUGGAGAGGUAAAUGUUGGUCUUAGACUCACAGGAACUAAUGCUGCAUUUAAAACACCGAGGACUUCUAGUUCCAAGGUGACGCUCAAGUCAGACAAUAGUUCUUGUGCUAUAAACACACACUUGGAAGACACUAUAUUAAGAAUCAGUGGUGUGAUUUUUUUCCUGUUCUUUAUUGGAUGUGAGUGACACUGAGUACAGAUGCACAAAAUACUCUACCAAAGAAUAAAAGUUUAGGGUUAGACAUGGUAUUCCUUUAACUACACCGAUGUUACAUGUUAACAUGAAGGAGGAGUGUGAGGGGAGAAGCUACAUUGAAACCCAGGUGCUAUGCUAAAUAACAAGUACUCUCUAGGUUAGCUACCUGGUCUAGCCCAGUAACAAGACCACAAAUGUUCUCAAGAAGCAAGUGAAGCUCUAAAAAAAAUUAAUUUAAAGCUGGGUGAUGGUGGAGCACACCUUUAAUUGUAGCACUUGGGAGACAGAGGUAGAUAGAUCUCUGAGAGUUUGAAGCCAACCUGGUCUACAGAGAGAAGCCUUGACUCAAAAAACCAAAUCAAACCAAACCAAAAUAAUAACAAAAUCACUAACCAACCAACCAGUCAAAUGAACAAACAAAUAAACAAACAAACAAAACACAUCAAUUUCAUUUCCCAAAUGCAAAAAAGAGAGAAACCCUUUAAAUUACAAUUAAAUGGAGAGAGGUAAAAACAUUAAGGUAGGGUGGGACUGGAAAGAUGGCUCUUGCAGAGAACUGGAGCUAGGUUCCCACCACCCUUGUGAGACACAUCCCAACUGCCUGGAACUCCAGCCACGGAGGAGUCACAUCUUCUGGCCUCCACAGGCACCUGCAGUCAUAUAUACAUACCCAUAUACAUGCAUACACAGUUAGAAAUAAAAGUAAACUUUAAAAGGAGAUUAUGAGUUUAAAAAUCUCCUAUGAGACUCAUAUGACAUUAUGAGUCUGUAAGUGACUAAAUUUUUCUUUAUGUCAGUGGUCUUUGAUUGAGACCAAAGGUUUACUGCAGUUUUUAGCUACAUAAUAUAAGCCACAGGACAUAGGUGAAUAAUAGCCCAAGGACCAACUAUGGGUAGAUUUUUAUUUGAAUGAAUAACACACACACCAUAAGUUCACUAGAAUAAGAAUAUUUCUCAGGAUAGGUUGACAUUUCUUCUUAGCAAAUCUUCCUAAGUGUCAUAGAGUGUUACUGAAUGUGAGCUCCAGGCUAACAGAAGCUUUCCUACGUCCUCUUACUGGAGAAUCUGGUCAACAGCAUCUUCUGUUGGUGAUAUAUUUAUACAGUGGCUGGGUGAUCUCAAAGACAUGCAGUUCAAUAUUCUUAAUAAAACACUUUUACUUGACAGGGUCUCAUGUAUUUCUGGAUGGCCUCAAACUCCCUUUGUAGCAAAGGACAACCUGAGUUCCUGAUCCUCCUACCCCUACCACCCAAGUGCUAUGUGCAAUGUGUGACCGUGCCUGCUUUAUGCAGUGCUGGGAGUGAAAUCCUAGGCUUUAUGUAUGCAGAUAACAAAGAUGCUGCCUCUUUCCAGAAUUAUCUUCCACAGUUCUGUACUUUCUACUUCCACUGGCCUCACAUGUGAAACAACUACAUCUCCUUGUCGGCUGCAUUAUUAUUCUCGUAAUGAACUCUCAUCAGAUUUUUCCCUUUUGAAAAUGAGCAGUAAUAAGCUAUUUUGGAAUCAGCUGAAAAUACAGUUUGGCUCUGAUAGUAUACAACAAAAAUAUCAGCCAACAUUUAUCAAGUGCUAGCCUGUGCCAAGAACUGUACUAAAUGCUUUCAAUGGUGUUGACUCAAUCAAUUCUCACAACAGCGAUGUGAGAGAGAAAGAAGCAAGGAAGAAUUCCCACAGCUUCCAAAGACUGGAUGCACCUCAACCUAUCUCCAAGGUCAGAGUCAACAGUGUCUGCCUUGCCUGGUCUUGGUCUAAUGGAGUUCAGGAGGCUAGCUAACUCUCACUGAGAGAAGCAGCAAGAUUAAGUCACAUCCACUCUUCUGUGCUUAUUACUAAAGCAGCAAUGUACAGCUCCUCAUUUUCAUGAGGUCUGGAUCAAGCCACUUUCCUAGCUGCAACCGUGGCAUUGAAGAGCUCCCGCACCCAAGCAUGUAGCUGUUACUGCCCAAGGCUGUCCUUAAUAAGGUGCACUCAUAUUUUCAAACAAGGUACAUUUUUUUUUCCAUUUACUUCCAGUAGCAGCUGAUCAAACCUCUUAAGCUGUUCUGGGAAUAUGGUAUUGGUACAUCUAUUGUUGCUUCAUUAAAUGAUGCCAUUUGUGCCAUUAUGGGUAAUUUCUGUUUGAGAGCAGAGAUGGUUACAAGGAGAUCAGCAGCAGGGGGAGAACUCAACUGAUUGGUCAGGGGUGAGCUGCACUGGAGAGGGAAGUAAGACGGCUUUCUCAGAAAUUAGCAAUGGCCAAUUUUCAGUUAUUUUCUCUUAAAAAAUCCUUUGCCCAUCUAAUUCUAAUAUAUAGUACCUUGCUCUCCUCCCUAGACAGCACUCUAAGUCCUGUUUUUAAUGCUUUAUCCUACAUGCAAAACUACAAAGCUCAUAUGGUACCACACAAAACACAGAAAACAAAAUUCACUGAAAUCCCCUUUAGUUUGUGUGGAUGUAUAGACGAGUUAGUAUAAAACAUCUGCAUUUUACAAGUAGCAAUACCAAGGUAUGCUUUGUGAUAGAUGUGUUCUUGAAGAAUCAUGUGACAACUGAUGACAUCAAUCAAAUCUUAAAUUAUUGGGAAUGUUAAUUUGAGGUACUCAAAGGGUCCCUCUAUAAAAUGAAUGCUUUUGGCCAUAAUUUUAUAUUUAUCACUUGGCAAGUAGCAUGCCAGUUUUUUUCUAAUUUCCAGUCUUUUUAAAAUUUUGAAAUACACCUGUAUUUGAUUUGUAAGACAAACUCACCAUUGAAACACACUUGCAUUUCCUAGUUUUCUGGGUAUAAGGAUUUAGAGAAGGAGAUUCAGUGUUGUAUGUAUUGAUAAUUUUCUUAUUAAUUUUCAUACAAUAUUCUUUUCCUCCCCCAACUCCUCCCAGAUCCUCCCCAUCUCCUACCCAUACAGCUUCAUGCUCUUACCUGCUGAAUGAGUAUAUUAGCCUUCUCUCUUAAAGCACCUAUGCCAUCUAUGCCAGAUAAGCCUUGCCCUCUUACUGAUUUUGUUUUAUACACAGAUACUGAUUACUGCUUCGUGCGUAAUAAAUAUUUUCCGCAAGGUAAGGCAUGUAACAGCCAUAAAACAAACAAAACAAAAACCUGAAAAUCAAAAUAACCAACUCAGUAAGACAAAAAUAUACCAGAACAUAUGCAUGUGCGCGCGCACACACACACACACACACACACACACACACACACACACACAGAGUCCAUUUUGGGUUGGCCAACUAUUCCUGGGUCUGUUCUGGAGUGUGGUUGAUAUGCCUAAUGACACUCCAUUGGAGAAAACUGGUUUACAGCUCCCAGAAGACAUCAAUUGCAUAUAGCUUCUUGGCGAGUGGUGGGACACUGUGCUCACUUGCCCUUUACAGUGCUGGCACUUUAUCCAGUUUAAACUGCGCAGGUCUUUUGUGUGCUGUCACCCCUUUAAUCCCAGCACUUGGGAGGCAGAGACAGGUGGAUUUCUGAGUUUGAGGCCAGCCUGGUCUACACAGCAAGUUCCAGGACAGCCAGGACUACAUAGUGAGAGCCUGUCUCACCCUCACCACACCGUCCCCCUCCGCCCUCCAAGGAUCUAGAAAAGGAAGAAUAAGUGAAUCCAUUACUGUAAGGUAGGGCUGGUUAACAUAUCACACACACAUACACAUGCACACACACACAUACACAAAUACAGAUACACACACACAUAUACACAGACACACACACACACAUAAACACACAAUACACACAUACAUACACACACACAUACACACACACACACACACAAACACACACACACACACACACACACACACACAUAUUCAUCCCACCAUUUCCGUGUCUAAUGUCCAAACGUUCCUAUGCUAUUUUUCUCUGGGCUCUUUCCUAUACCUCUUCACGACUCCUGCAGCCCCAUUCACGUGGCUGUCAAAUGCACAGCACUUGUGAGAACUGACUCAGACUCGAUGGCUUUUACAGAUCAACCUUUAGUAUUUACAACUGAUUGUUUCCUCUCCCAAAGGCGAAGGAAAAACCAGAACUCCUUCUUUUACUUUAUUUCACAUUUCUGUCCAACAAGCUUUAGAGAUGUAUAUGUUCUAUAAACGUAAGAUAGAAACUGGGAUAGGAACCAAGAACCCAAGUCUCUUUGCUUUAGUUUCUUUUCUACCGCAAAAUUGCUAGUCUAACCUACUGCCUUCAAUAGGAAUGUUAGCACAAUAUAUCUAAAAUGCAUUUAUAAAAGUAAAAAGUAUUACCUAUUCUAAUUAUACACUUCAUAUUUUUCUUUCAAUGAGACUCAAAUUCUGAUUUAAUAUAGCUAAAUAAAUCAGUUCUAUGCACACCUGCUUCUCUCCACACAAAAUAUGCAUGUACACAAAACACAGGCACCUGAUUAUGGGAAAUCAGAAAUUAGGCCCACAUAAUGGAUUUUCUUUUAACCACCCACUCGACAUUUAUAGUCCACUUUAAGGGCUCCAUGCCUAGAAUUGGCAGCUCUAGGAACAGUGAGAUCAGUUUGUCUACAGUUGUUCCCAACCUUUUUUGGCUCUGGUACACCUACACUUGCUUCCAAAAAUAUACCCCACAGUCUGGUGCUCAAUGGAAUGAAAAUCUUCCCUGAGCUAAUAGAAUAUAAAACAGGGGAGGGAACAGACAUAGCUCUGUAUUUCCGGGUACUCGUACAACACAGUGAGGCAAAGCAGCGGAAAGGACAUGACUGGUGCAGCACUGGGAGAAAAGGGGUUUCCAGCUGCUCCCUCGACACACUGCUUUAGGAGAGACUUACAUGUAUCGAUCUCCAGCCACCAGUUUGGUCUUCUCUGAGACAGAGGAUAUAGUUUUGAAGAGAUGGCUAGCUCAAAAAAAGAAAAAUGGUGUGGCCAGUAGUACCAUUUGAGCAUAUGAAAACUAAUGGGUUUAUACAAGGUCAAAAAAUCACGCUUUGGGCCCUACUUGGAAUGUAUUGUAACUGCCUGAGUUAACUAGCUAUAGAUAAUGCCUAGAAGAAAACUGAUUUUAAAUCAGAAACAAAAAUGCGAUCGAGGGCAUAACUCAGAUAAAUCGUUCAGUCUCAGUGAGCCGCCUUCAAUAUUGAGCCUAUUCCAAGUUGUGCCCAGUAAGAGGCAAAGAUCCUUUAUUUCCCUGGGCACUCAGAAUUGUUCAUAAUUUAUACCAUUGCUCUCAAUAAUUUUAUUUCUUGGGAGUUGAAUCUCAACAAUUUAUGUCAUAAUUCAUGUAAUUAACAUGCAUUUCUUAGAAUGUUUUUACUAAAUUUUGAUAAUGCUUAUCGUAAAAUUUCUUUGCUUUUGAGGGCAAACAGAAAUCUUUGAAGUUAAAUGAUGUUACCUUCUUUAUGAAUAUAAAUAUAUCUUGUAGAAAAUUUACUGCAGGGGAGUCCUGGUCAGGAUAUUAAUAAUAAGAAUUUAGCAACCUCCAUGAUACUGCUUAGAUCAGUGCAGCUUCAACCUUCCUAAUGCUACAACCCUUUAAUACAGUUCCUCAUGUUGUGGUGACCCCAGCCAUAACAUUAGUGAGAACCACUGGCUUACAUGAAACCGUCAUCAUCUCUUACAAAAAGGAUGCUGGAGAGAGCCAUGUGCUGCCCCACAGCAUUCCUUCAUGUAGUAUACGCUCUAACCUGUCUACAAUACAUCCUAUAUUACCAGAAGAUAAAAUUUGGCUUUGUGGGGAGCUGGAGAGAUGGCUCAGAGUUUAAGAGCACUGACUGCUUUUCCAGAAGACUCAGGUUCAAUUUUGAGUGGCUCACAAUAGUCUGUACCUCUAGUCCUGGAAGCGGGUAGGAGAUGAUCUCCCGCCCUCUUCUGGUCUCUGCAGGUACUGCAUGUACAUGUUGCCUAGAUACAUGCAGGCAAAAGAUGAAUACACAUAAAAAUUAAAAACCUGAAUUUUGUAAAAUAAAUUCAUAUUUUUAUUAUUGUCAUGCCAUUAAGGUAUAUCAGACAAGACCAGUUUUAAACUGAUCUCAAUUUAUGCCUUACUUAGAUUUUUCCCUAGUUUCUAGAACAAUUUAAAGAGCCAUAUCCCUUAAUUCUUAAAAGGCACAGAAAAUAAAGGUUUGUGGAAUUGUAACAAAGGACAGCUAGGAAGUAAAUGUAGCUUGCUGGCAUCCCAAGUAAGUCAGUAGUAUCAACUGUGUAAGAAUUGUGUGCAUAAUUAGAUUAAAAUUUGAGGACAUGGCGGCGGGGGGGGGGUGACUUUUACUUGGUGAUAAUGACCAAAAUAUGGAAAUCUGGAAAGCCAGGCUGCAGAACAAGUACAUGCUGGAAAGCCGGGGCCAGUGCUUCUCUGGGUGCCACCAUCUGCUCCUUGCACCAGAGUUCUGGGCUCUUCUUCCAGUUAAACAGAAAUUGAGAAUGAGAAUUCUUACUAUUUCAGACAUUAGAAAAAGGAGAAAAGAAAUCAGUCAGGUACAGAUACGGACUUUGAAUCUGGAUCUACAAUCCCCACUUGACUUUCCUGAGACAAGGCGAUGACAGCAUGAGCUGGCUGACUGUGGAGAACAGAAAGGCUUUCUCCAAGAGAUCACGAAUGGAAGGCUAGUCCCCCCUCCUUUAGCAAGGAGCAGCUCCAGGAACUAUUUGGAAUUAAUGUUAAAAUAGAUGCCAGAGGAAAAAUUAAACUAAAGCCAAAGAGGUGCUAAGAACCAAAAAAAGAAGACUUGGCUGUCAUCCGGCUCCUUUGAAAAGAUACCACGAAACAGAUUAGAAAAUAGAUAAAAUAACCUAAAAUAAUACUAUAUUGAAUAAUAUGAGCAGUACUCUUGAAAACUGAAAAUCAUGAAAAACAAGGAAAGUUUUAGAAGCUUCAAAAGCCAAGAGGAACCUGGGCAGACAUCAUGAGUAAAUGUAUGGCGGCCUGGUUGGGAUCCUAGUACUGAAAGAAAAGGAACCCAAAGGAAAACUUAGCUGCUGUCUGAAUAGACUGUGGAGUGCAGGUAACAACUGUGCGCCAGCAUUGAUUCCUUAACGGUCACAAGUGUACCAUGCUCGUGUGAGAUACUGAAUGCAGAGAAAACUGUGCGGGGUAUAGGAACGCUCUACGAGGUGCCCAUGUUUAAAUACCUUCACAUUUUUUCUAGUAAGUAAAGUUUAUUAGAAAAUCCUAUUUCUAGGUUAUUUGAAAUUAUUCUAUUAAUGAAAAAAAUCCCUAAACUGAGGGUCCAACUCAGAGGCCUAGAUUAAGGGCAGUAAAAGACUUUAACCAUGACAUGACAACAGGUCAAGGAGUCCACAUUCCUCAGGAAGCCAGCACAGAUAGUUCCGAAUCCAGACCUAAGAUCCCUUCAGCGAAUGUCAGCAGGGUCAAUGAUUACGAAGACAAUAAAGCUGUCUGCUAAACUUUGCUCAUCCCAAACAACUUGAGAGCCCUAAAGCACAUUGCAGACAGUAAUGCAAUCUCUGUGUGCAGAAGUAGAGCUAAUGAUUUCCAUGGUAUCAAACAAGCUCAGGAAAUAGGACCUUUAUCAGCUGUCACUGGCCCAGGAAGUGGAGUGUGGGAGGAGGCGGAGGCGGAGAAGAACACAGGCAGCCCAAGCAGCCACCCAACUUAUCCUGUGGUCUGACACUAGCCUUUACAAGAGUAAAGCAACAGACUCCAUGACUCUUGCUCUUCUUGCCUAAUGAUUCUUUAAGAACAAAGUACCAUGAAUAUAAUAUUUAUUAGUAGUUUAUAAACUCUGAAGGGUGAUUUCUCAAGGGAAAUCAGCGGGCCACAGUUACCUAGUAAAACAGAUGUCAAGGUGACAAUAUGUUGAUUCUAAACAUCCAUCCUUCCAUUCAAAUCACAAAUAUUUAUUAAAGACACACGAAAGAAGUCAGUUCAGGAGAACGCUCUGAACUGAUGGAAGAGUUUAGAUGACAAUUGGACCAAUAACUAGAAAAGCGAAUGAAGGUAAGAGAAUUUCAUUUAGAGAACAUUCUUGCUUAACCUUGCGCUCCCUCUAGUGGUCUCUUGGUUAAAAUGCAAUGCUUAUGUAACAGCUCAGUCAGUUAAUGGUUGAUAAGCUCAACUACACUACAAAGGCUUAUCUAAGUUUGGGAUGACACUAAUCUCUUUUCCCUCUCUCCUCCUCUCCCCACCCCAGCCUCUCUCUUUCCUCCCCUCCCCACUAUCUCUAUGUUCUGAUAAUUUCAUUCAGUCUGUUAAGAGAUUAUCAUUGAUUCAGCCAACACAUAUCGGAGCAUACCUUGAUAAGGUAGUAGCUAAUCUUUGCAGUUUAAUUUAUUUUCUAUUUUCUAAACAUUGACAAUCAAUAAUUUGAUCGGUAAUGACAUAAGAACAUACCCCAAGGACUAAAAUCAGUAUUUCUUACUUUUACUUUUCUGCCAUCUCUUCAACAUUCACACUCAUUUGUCCUUAUAAACAUUUUUAUUGAAUAUUUGCUAUAUGCUAGGUAUGAUUCUAGGCAGUGAAGCGACAGGUAUAAACAGGGAGGCCCCACUGAGAAUGUGGUAUGCAAGGACCCAAAGGGACUGAGGUGGCUUUUGGGGGGGGGGCAAGGAAGAAAUAGGAAUGGCAAGGGCAAAGGCCUAGGGGUGAACACAAGGAGUCAGUGAAGGAAGAGAGUAAUAGUUCACCAAGGGACGGGAUACAGGAGUAUUUGGUAGGGACGAGCAGACCAGAGCAUGGACUGUUUUGUUUUACUCUAUGUGAAAUGGGGAGGCAGCCAGCCAAUGCAGCAUGACAAGCCAAGGAGUGACAGGAUCUAAUUUAUGUUGUGACAGGGUCACUGUGCCUGUUCUGCACAAAACAGAUCAAAGGGACAAGGCUAGAAGCAAGAACACUGUCUGGGCAGCUGCUGUAAUACAGUAAGAGAAAUGUUAGUAGCUUCCACGGGGAGGAAGAAUAAAGACCGACUGUAGACAUCUGAAGACAGAAUUACUGCCCCCCCCCUUUUUUUUAAGUAUCUAAGCGAUCGAAUGUGACUCAUGAGCAGGAGGAGUCAAGAAUGACCCAAACAUGUUUGGCUUCAUAGGUCUCAAGGAUGGAUUAUUUUUUUGAUAUAUACUGAGUUUAGGAUAUCAACCUGACAACCAACAAUCAAGUCACGUUGACCAUUCUGUCAUGAAUCUGAGUCAGGAAUCCUCAUAGUCCAGAUUUCUCUUAGCAUUCUUGUCUCCCAUUUUCCUACCAGAUCAGCUCAUUCAACUCUACGUCCAUCAUUCAGUGGCUUUUCUAAGACCAAAGCACCAAACUUGCCAAUAUUCCAGCCACAAAACAAUUCCAAAGGCCCAAGAAUCAAGCAGUCAGAUUUACCCCAGCAACGGGGUCCAUGUCCUGGUACCAAUCUUAGGUUCUUUUCCUGAUGCUGUCAUAAAAUACUCUGACAAAAGCAACUGUAAUGGAAAGGGGCUUUAUUUUAGCUUAGAAUUCCAGAUUACAGUUCAGCAUGGUGGGAAAGAAAGCCAAAGCAUCAGGAGCUUGGAGCAGCAGUCACAUUACAUCCAGCCAGAAUAGGAAUGAAUGCAUGCUGCCUUCCUUCCUCUUCUCUAGUCAUCUAGUCCAAGAGCCUCUGAGGAUAGUUCUGUUCACAAUUAAGAUGGGUUUUCCUACAUCUAUUAAUGUAAUCAAGAUAUAACCGCCCGCUCCCCGCCCCUACACAGGCACGCCAGAGGCACAUCUCCCAGACAAUUCUAGUUCCUGUCAAGUUGAUUUAAUGUUAAAGUGUUAAUCAUUACAGUACCUGUACCUGUAUAUUUUUAUGUGUGAGCAUGUGUGUGGGUGAUGUGCACGGAGGCGCAAGGUUGACAUCUGAUAGCCUCCUCAUUGUUCUCCACAUUAUUCACUGAGGCAGGGUUUCUUACUGAACCCAGAGCACACUGGAUACAGGAUACCCACCCUGCUCUGGGGAUUUGAGCUCUACUUUCUGAGCACCAGAAUUACAGGCAGGCCACCACACCUACUUAGCAUUCACAUGGAUUCUGAGGAUCUGAACCUUUGUCCUCAUGGCUUGGCAGCAACUGCUUUAUUCACUAAGCCAUCACCUUAGCCUUGAUGUACUUUUUGAUUGCUGUUUCCAGCCUCAGCUGAAAACAACAUUUCUUCCUACUUAGACAAGGAACUGGGUAUUUUUGAAGUUCCCCUUUGUUUUUACUCUCAGCAGUCAAGUCAAUGACCCAGGGUCAUUUAUUUAUUCAUUGAGACAGGCUCUUACUACAUACCCCAGGCUGGUGUCACAUUUACAGCAAUAUUCCUGCCUCUAUCCCCAGGUACUGUGAUGUUAGGCAUGUUCCAACACGCCUGGCUGGUUCACUAAGUUCUACUGGCAAUGCCUGCAAGACUGCUCUCUAGCACUAUCCUUUCACAUCUGCUGUUGCUAUCUUUGUUCAUGCUUUCAUGACCCCUUCUCUGGCCACUGAGCAAAACGGUAUGACCUUUCUGCCUUCAUCAGUGGGAAUGGACAUUGUAGUCCAGCAGCUCCAGGGUCAGGAGGUGGGAGCAGAGGAAGAGACAGGGACUAAGUCUUGGUAUUUGGGUCUUAAAGUGAAUACCACUCCCACACUUGAGAGAGUGCUAAUGUUGCAUGGGGUAAGCAUAUGUAUAAUAGUAUUACUGGAACAGUGUCCCCAACACUCCACCAAACUAUUUCUUGGUCAACAACUCUGCCAGUGAAUCAGGUAGUAGACCAGUUGUGAACCUGUUAGAAAUCUGGCUCUCUUCAAUGGCACAACCAAUCUCUCAUUAUUCUAUCAAAAUAAAUAAAUGAGUAUGAUAAAUAAAAUAACUGCUCUCUCUUUCAGAUUUUAGUUGCUGGCGCUUACUACAGAGUCCAAUGAACUACACCAUGGAUGAGUGAGAGGUAAGAGGGGUGAUCCCAGAGGAAGAAGGGCACGGCUUGUUCUGACGUAGGAGGGCAGUAGGUAGAUGGCUGAAUGUCAUUUCAAGUAUUUCUGAAAAAAGACCUGCAACUUUGGGCCUGGAGGAAUGGGUCUCUGCUGAAAGGCAAUCAGGCUGGCAACACACAGCUGAAAAACCCAGUUAGCAGAACUCACACACAACUUAGCAGCAUACAUUGUUUGGUGUUUCAUAUGUACUGGCUGCUGCUAUUCUUUAUAUGCUAUGGAUAUUAUCCCUUCUGACACAGCUGCUUUGUGAGAUAGGCACUAUUAUCAUCACCAUUUAUAUGUGGGGAAACUGGGGAAAGAAAGUCUAAACUGUUCAAGGUCAAUACAGGAGGUGGCCCAGUAGCUGCAGAGUCCUUAUUUUUAAGCCUCAUGUUGGUGAAGACCAAGUGAACGUGCCCUUGACAGUUACACACACACACACACACACACACACACACACACACACACACACACACACACAGUCUAGGAACUUCCCCUGGGUUGUUGAUACUUGCAGCAGGCAUGGAAGCCAUACACUAGAGAAGAAUGCUGGGGUGAGUUGUGGGAUGGCUUCUGGAGUCUGUCAUGUUAGGUGUACCUGCCAGCUCACAGCUGUGGGGAGGGCCUGAGGUGAAGGAGGCAACAGCACCUAGGAUGGACAUGCAAACAGUAAGGGGGGGGGUCACCAGCAGUUUAAGGGAGUUGGAGAUGGAGAGAAAAGCUUCAAUGAAGUUGAUUCUGACAGCAUCCCAAAGGCCUGGAGGUCUUGGUCUGCUUGGUCUCAACUGGAAGAAUCAUAGAGACACAGAAGAGGUUAGGCCCAGAUGCAAGGCACACAUAAAAGACCCUCAGGGCCCAGAGUUUUCAAACAGUGUUGAGCUUCAAAAGAAAUGAGAGAAACUGGUUCCAAAUGAGUAUGUUUAUGCCACAGCCCUAAAAUGUCUGAUUUAGGAAUCUUCACUUUAGGAAUAAUGAGCAGAUGGCUUGCUGAUAGUCCAUCAGAUCAUAUGCAAAGUGUGAUUGGCUGUGUGGGCCUGUUUAAGAGGAACCAUUGGGCAUAGGCAAGCCCCAGGUCUAAUGGAAUGAUGCAUCUAGGAACAUAAACCUUUGGGCUGUAUCAUUCACGUUAGACGUGAAACAUUGUGUGCUACAUCUGCCUGCUGUCUAUGCUGUUGCUGAAGGUAAAUGGUUACAAUAUUGGGCUGGAACCAUUUCAAUUGCCCCUGAUAUUCUAUAGUCUCCAUGUCUGCUCUUGCUGCUCCAGGAUGGAAUGGUCUAAGCUCUUACCAAGCUGUCUCUUUCCCUUUAAAGGAAGCACCUAUCUAUCUAGCUUCCAAGUAGUCUUGAUCACUAAGAACUCUAGUUAUCACUUGGGGCAAUAAACCUUUGUUGAGACCAGCUUCCUAAAGAACUGAUACAAGGGCAGGGAUCAAAGUACGCAGAUCCUUCUGGGACAGGAUAGCACCCCUACCCUGCAAGUUGAUGAUAUCAGUCAAGAUUGCAGGCUAUCUUAGCUACUUUUCAAUUACUGUGACAAAACAUGAUUACUAACUAAGGUAACUUUUAAACUAAAGCAUUUAAUUUGAGGCUCACAGCUCUAGAGGGUUAGUUGAUGACCAUCAUGGCAGGGAGCAUGGCAGUAAGCAGGCAUGGUGCCGGAACAGUAGCUGAGAACUUACAUCUGAUCCACAAGCAAGAGGUGGAGAGCCUAGGAGUAGCAUGGGCUUUUGAAACCUCAAAGCCUGCACCUAAAGACACUCCUCUUCCAACAAGGCCACACCUCCUACUCACUCCUAGUUAUGCCAACUGAGGAGCCUAUGGGGGUCAUUAUCAUCUAAAGCAUGACACAGGCCAAAGUAGAAAUAAAUGAGGGCCUUAAGUUACUGGAAGGUCUUUUUUUGUAUGUGUUUUAGAGGACUAAAUCCUCUAAGUUCAGAGGAUAGAUACUAGGUUGGUAAAGACACAGAGGUAUCAUAGAGCUGCCGAUGUUUUUACUUGCUCAGGAAACUUCAUUUCACAAAGGUUAACAACUAGUUCAUGCAAUCUUUGAACAACUAGUUCAUACACACACACACACACACACACACACACAAUGUAGCUCAGAGAUACUCUUUUCAUUCCUGAGGAACAGGCCUGGAAAGAGUACUACUGUAAUCACUGCAUUAGCACUUAGCCCAGAGAACCUAGCAUCACAUUGGGAGAAUUUAUAAAACCACCGCCUAGAGAACUACACUCAUUUGAAGAGGUGGCCAACAUCUCAUUUGCUGGACAAAGGUGUGUGUGUGUGUGGGGGGGUGAAUUCUCUAUUUAUUACCUUUUAUCUUUCUUGAUCUAGAUAAGGUCUGUGAAGGCCACAAGCUUAUGAAUUGAUUAGGCAGUUCUAGAUCAAUGGAAAGGAUUUUCUGGACAGUGGUGACACAUUAUAUUGAUGGAAAGACUCCACUUCUUUUCAGAAAGCAGCUCAAGGCCAAAGUGAAGAGAGGAGCUGAUGAAACCUGCUCCAAGAUACCAUCCAAAACUUUGGUUUUAGAGAAGGCCUUGGUGUGAAGCUCACAGAGCUCAUUUGCUGGUGCCAGCCUGGGGAAGGACUGAGUAACACGGGACAAGGACAUGCCAUCCAUGGAUGAAAUAAGGUGUCCGACUUUGGUGGGGAGAUGAUGUGGCUGGCUUGGCAUCCAGAUCUCCUUUUCAUGCAGUUAUCUACAUGUUGGCAGCGUGGCUAUCAAACAGUCAGAAUUUGGAGCCAGAGAACUGGAUUCCUUUUCUAACUCUAGACUUCCUACUUCUAUAACUUCAGGGUACUAUGCAUGGGAGUUUGCAAGUCUGUACACGCACAGAGGCCAGAGAAGGAUGCCACACGUCCUGCUCUGUAACUCUCAUGCACAUUCACUUGAGACAAAGAGUCUCUCAUUGAACCUGAACCUGGAGUUAGACUGGCGAUCAGCAAGCCCCACCAAUUAUUCAGUCUCUUGUCUACCCCUGCCAAGACAUUGAGCUUACAGGUACGUGUGACGAAACCCAGCCUUUCCCGUAGAUUCUGGGGAACCUGGGUCGUAGUGCUUGUACAACAAAUGUUCUUACUUUUUCUAUGCUAUCUCCCCAGAGUCUGCUAAUAUAAAAAGUUUCUAUUAGUCGGUCUCUUACAGUUAUCUCCCAGAGGAAGGAAAGACGGAGGAAAAGCCUGGACCCUCUCAAUCAGCUCCUCACAAUAAAGGACAAACGGAACAAGAAUAAAGGAAAAUACACUUAAGACAAACACAGAGUCUCAAAAUCGCCAAGAUUCGAAGCUCCCCAGCUUUACUAACGCAAGUGAUGGAAUACUCUCUCCUAACAGUUUGUGGUCCAGGACCCCCUAUUGGUAACUCCGCUCACCUCUGCGCCAAUCCUUCCCCUCCCCCGCCCCCCGCCCCCACUCGAGCGUUGGAUGCCCCACUGCGCUCUCUGAAGGUAAUGAACCACUUCCUUCUGCUCGGCUUGGCGUGCCUGGCACUGCUAGUUACAUUUUUGCUGAAGGUAUCCUUCAGUCCAGUUUUCUCGUUUCCUAAUGUACUCCCUUUCACACCCUCCCACCCCCAUCCCCGCAAACCGUGGUCUUUGAUCCAGACCUCUCUUACCCGUUUGGGGACCUUCACAAGGGAGUCGCAGAUGCUGACAUACUCGGGACUGUAAAUAUAAACCGGGGGUAGUGAAUGCCCACUGUUGGCGGGUUCCUCUGGCAUCUCCAUCUCCCACUUCCAACCGUCCGCGAGCCAAAGUCUGGAGCCAACAGUUUUCAGACUCAGCCUGAGCUCCAGUUCCUGCUCCUCUGUUCAGCCCCAGCGGUGCUCCCUUGUCAACAUUCCCUCCUAUUUAGAUCGCCGGAGACAGUUUCCCUGGUCCCUCGUCCAACUACAGGGAUGGAUGGGCCCUUCCAGACCAGAUGCCUUCUACUGAUGACCACAGUUCAAAAAAGGUGCCUGACAGAUAUAAAAACCAAAUAACUGCCAA
Molecule: long non-coding RNA, 56229 nt
Organism: Mus musculus (house mouse)
Lineage: Eukaryota; Metazoa; Chordata; Mammalia; Rodentia; Muridae
Product: predicted gene, 32262
Exons: 16
Source: RefSeq, a predicted model, not a curated record